Molecule: long non-coding RNA, 66924 nt
Filed under: Lotus japonicus
Lineage: Eukaryota; Viridiplantae; Streptophyta; Magnoliopsida; Fabales; Fabaceae
Description: long non-coding RNA (LJAP_LNC001694)
Source: RNAcentral
CAAAAAUUGUAUUAACCUUAAGGUGCUUGUUCAUGUAUCAACAGGUCAGUAUUUUAAAAUUUAAACUGAACCACUCCUAUCUACUUUUUGUCUCGUUGAAUCCUUCACUUUAUGUCAAAUCAAAACAAUUAAUGAAGCAAUUAAGAGAAGGAUGAUACAUAAACUCUUUAAUUUAAUCAGUCCUUUUCAGUUUUCACAGUUACUGUAUGUGUUGGACUCACUUUGUGAGUUUGACACAUUAAUUUAAUAUAUCAUUGCUAGAGUUUUUUUUUUAUAAGUAUAAGAUUUACAUUAAAAGAGAGUAAAAUGGGUCCUUCAACCUUUAAUAUAAAGAGAUGCCAAAGAUUGAUUAACUACUCAAUUCUCCAUCCCUCACUAAUUAUAAAUCACAUUUCCCUAUUUUUUGGAAUUAAAAGAAGGGUUUUUCUUUUGAAAGUAAAAGAAGGGGUCAGUACCAAUAAAUUUAUUAACUUUUUUAGAUUUUUCAUGAAUUUCAUUUUUCAAAUUAAAAAAAAUAAAUAAAAUCACACUAUAUCUUUCAUACUAAAUAUAAGGAUAAGUUAUUUCAAAAAAAAUAUAAGGAUAAGUUUGAAAAAAAAUAUAUUUUAUUCAUAUAAAAUGACUUAUAUUAAAAAAAUACUUUUAAAAAUAAUUAUACCGCAUAUGUUUAUGGCAGGGCUACUUUUGAAAUACAUAAAGUUAAAAAUUAAAAUACAUAAAGUUUUUUUUAUAAGCAAUAGAUCAUAUAUAUUGAAAAGAAGUACAAGUGGUACUUCAACCCAAUACAAGUAGAGAUGGAAGAGGAAGGAAUGUACAAAUUUUUUUCAAAUUAAAAUAAAUAAAUAAAAUCACACUAUAUCUUUCAUACUAAAUAUAAGGAUAAGUUAUUUCAAAAAAAAUAUAAGGAUAAGUUUGACAAAAAAUAUAUUUUAUUCAUAUAAAAUGACUUAUAUUAAAAAAAUACUUUUAAAAAUAAUAUACCGCAUAUGUUUAUGGCAGGGCUACUUUUGAAAUACAUAAAGUUAAAAAUUAAAAUACAUAAAGUUUUUUUAUAAGCAAUGAAUCAUAUAUAUUGAAAAGAAGUACAAGUGGUACUUCAACCCAAUACUACAAGUAGAGAUGGAAGAGGAAGGAAUGUAUAAAUUUACAAUAACCAACGAGCACCACCAAAAUACUAAUGGUUACCACCUCCCAAAAGAUCAAAGAAAAAAACCUCAUUAGGAAUGUACAAAUUUACAAUAACCAACAAAAUUUAAAAAACUUGGGUCACAUGGGGUCUAAUUUUUAUUGCAGUCUAAUCUUUUCGAUAUACAAAAGUUCUUAUGCAAUCCUUCACUUUUUGUCAAAUCAAAUCAAUUAAUGAAGCAUUUAAAUAAAUGACGAUAUAUACUGGCCAUCUCUGGUCCUGUCAAAAUCUUUAAUUUAAUCAGAGUCCUCUUCACAAUUAUGAGUGAGAUUAAAUAACUUCACCAUGUGUUCAAAAAAAACUUAACUUCACCAUGAUUAAUCAAUAUAAUUCACAUGGCUUCAGCAUAUGUUUGUGGCGAGAGAGGAGGGCUGAUAUUAGAGGAUCCAUGCCAAUUGGGUGUGUCAUUAAAUGGAGUGCCAGGACUAGACAUUGAUGUGGAAAAGAAAGUGGUGGAUGAGAAAUUGAAGAUGCUUAAAGAAGAGGGAGCCUCAGAAGAUGAAAUUAAAAUGGCCAUGAAGGACUUAGGUAUGAAAAGGUAAGCAUCUACCUAAGCUUCCUUGUACUAUAUCAUAAAUUAUAUUUGUCCAAUACAAUGUGAUUACGUGUCGAAAAUAUUCAAGUUUUUCGAAUUCUAAACUACUUCAUUAUAGAGCUUUAAUACAUGUUAAGAACUAAUUAUUACAAAUAUUUAUGCGGUUGAUUAAAUGAUACAUGAAUGACUAUAUUUCUAAUUGUAACUUAAUUUAUUUCAAUAAAUUAUUAUAGAGCAAGUGUAUAUGGAUGGCCAAACACUUAUGUCUUCACAAAGGCGAUGGGAGAAAUGCUUGUAGGAACUUUAAAGGAAAACAUGCCUGUUGUUAUUCUACGCCCUACAAUUGUUACUAGCACUUACAGAGAACCAUUCCCUGGCUGGGUUGAAGGUGUAAGGUAAAUCCCUAAAUUUUAUGUUACUCAGUAUGUUCAUGUGCAUUGUAAUGUAACCACAUUAAUUGCCGAGAUUUCUCAUACCUUGGGACAUUUUUUGCAGAACCAUAGACAGUUUAAUUGUUGCUUAUGGUAAAGGAAAAUUGACAUGCUUCCUUGCGGACAUUAAGGCGGUUUUUGAUGUGGUAAGUCACUAGAUGAAGUUUCUAAUCUUUUCUUUAUAGGCCAAACUUUUAUUGACUAAGUACUAGCUAGGGAUGUUUGUGCCCACAUUUACACCAAUGGACCUGAAAAAAAAAAUGCUAAAAACAACAGAGGAAAUGAAAACUGAGGGAAAUCAUGCACUAAUAUGUGAAAGAAGGAGAAAACAACUCAUAACACGUUAGAAUUAGCUUCUCUUUCCCUAGAAUAAGUUCUGGUAAGCUGAAGUUACAUACAGAAGCUACUUACCAGAAUUAAUUUCGGAUUUAAUAUCAAAUAUAGAAGAAUUUUCAAACAUGCUAUUAGAAGAUAUAUAUUCAAAUUCUAAGACUUCCGAAGAUGAAUAUCAUUCCACCCACCCAUGGAAAAAAAACAAGAUUUUGUAAAAGAUUAACCAGCUAUUGUAUCAAGUGAUUGAACACCAUGUUUAGAAGAGGAUCAGUUCCAUUUAGAAAACACCAUGUUACUUAGUACAUUACAAUACAUUAAGAAAGAGCAAGCGCAUAUAUAGACUAUUAAUUAAUGGUGUAAUGUUCUAAAUCAAAAAUACUCUAUACAUUGCAAUACAUUAUUUACUUAAAAUGGAUGUAUUAAUUUAUGCUGAGUUUGAAAUUUAACAGAUACCAGCUGACAUGGUGGUGAAUGCAAUACUAGUGGCUAUGGUGGGUAAUGCAGAUCAGCGCCCCUGUGAUAUGAUAUACCAUGUUGGUUCCUCUGUUGCAAAUCCAGUGAGAUACCUUAAUCUUGAAGACUACAACUUCAGAUAUUUUUCUGCAAAACCGUGUAAGGACAAGGAAGGAAAGCUUGUCAAGGUUAGCAGAGUCACAAUAUUGGACAACAUGCCUAGCUUUCGGAGAUAUAUGUUCAUCCGCUACUUGCUUCCACUAAAGGUCAAUUCUAAUCCGUAGAUUCUGCUUUGGAUUCUUUGAUUCAUGCAAUGCUUAACACAUGGUCAACUUUAGUUACUACAUGUUUGGAUCAACGUUGUCACAGACUCAGCUGAUGUUUGGAUGUACCUGUAAAAUUGAUUUCACAUGUGGAGUCGGAUCCAUUCGCCACAACAAAUAGUUGUUUCUGCGUUAAACAUAAUCACAUCAUUUUAACACACAUUAACCAUAUGCAAUUUUAGUAUUAUGUGCUAACGUUGAUCCAAGCGCACACAGAGUUGAAACUGAAGUGAUUAACGUUUUGAUACAUUUAUGCUAAGUGAUUUUUGCGGGGAAUAAUGUAAAAUCCAAUUGUUAAAUACCACAAUUGAUUAUGUUCAACACAAAUUUGAGUUUGGAUGUGAAAUUAAUUCCGCAUGAUGACUCCCAAAUAUCUCUAUAUCCAAAUGUGACUUUACUGAGUUUCAGGGUUCCUAACAGUAAACCAAACAUACACUUAAAUUUUAAGCAAAAAAGAUGCUAACUUGGUUUGCAUUUUUAACAGGGGCUAGAGCUAGUCAACACAGCUUUCUGCCAAUAUUUUCAGGGAAUGUAUCUUGACAUUCACAGGAAGAUCCACAUUGUGAUGCGGUUGGUUGACCUUUACAAGCCUUACUUGUUCUUCAAUGGCGUGUAAGUUAACCACCACUUACUUUACUUUGUAGUAUUUAACAUAUCUUAUAUAUCAAUUCACUUACAUCAAUGAGCUUGUUUGAUUUGUACACAGAUUUGAUAACAUGAAUACAGAAAAGUUGCAAAUAGCAGCAAAACAAGGGGAAGCAGAGAUGGAUGUGUUCUACUUUGAUCCAAAAAUGAUUGAUUGGGAGGACUACUUCAUGAAUAUCCACAUUCCUGGCAUCGUCAAAUAUGUUGUCAAGUGAUACACAUGCUCGGGAAUCUGAUAUUGUUUGUAGCUUUUGUCUUAGAAGCUAGAAUCCCCAUUGAAUUGAACAUUAUGCUAUCUGAGAUUAUGCAUUGGUGUGGUACCAAUUUAUUUAUAUAUAUAGCAAAUAUUUGAACUUCUCAUAAAAAAGACUCAUAAUAUUUCAUUGUUAGUUUAUUGAAGAAUUGAGUGGAAGAUAGAUGUACUCAAUUAGAUAACAGAAUAAGUUAUGAUACAACAUAAAACAAAACAAGAGCAACAAGAAAGCACAGAAAACUUGUGGCAUGCGGCUCUGGCAUUUUAAUUAUCGAACACCUUAACUACAACCUGAACAUCCCCCUCACUUAAUUCACACAUGAGUAGUGCUAGAAAUUGUACCAUUGUCGCUCCUCAAUCCAGUACCAUUGCCCCAAUCUGUAUGGCCAGUUUCAAUGCUUAAGGGCGCAUACAUUGCCAAUGCCUUUGGUUUGCAUACCACUAUUUUGGAGUCCAACAUCAAUCAACGCAACCUAAUAUGUUAAAAAAGAGAAGUCAAGCGAGUACAUACUUCUCAUACAAUAUACUCCUCUAGUAAUACAAAAAAAUUGGGCUUAUUAUUAAGAAUCACUAAAUACUAAAAUGGGUCUAAUUAGUGCAUUGACUUUUUUUUUUAAAAUAUACAUUCUUCCGUAUUUAUCAUUUGUCAUUUUCUCUCACUAGUAAUCAUUGCAUUAAUUAUAUUUUACUAUACUUAUUGAUUUCCACCAAUAAAUGGAUUUACUCACCACUCAUAUACCAAAAAUCAUAAUUAGUUGAAUGAGUAGUGAUUAAUAGUAGGUGAUAAUUAAAAUUUUAGAAUUGAAAACACUCAAUUAAUAUAAGGGUAUAUAUGGAAGAGUACAAUAUUUUUUGUUGGAUUAUUGUAAAAUGUCUUAUAGUUAUGAACUUUUUUUAUAGGCGAAUGUUAGUGAUUGGUGGUUAGUAAUUACAAAUGUUCCUCCUCAGGGUUUGAACCCUAGACCUCUAUCUCCAACACAUAUUUCUACCCUUAGAUCAACCAAGUGAGCUACUUUUCCCACCCCUAUAUUUAGGAACAUGAGAAAUGUACAACUAAAUCUUAUAAAAAGGUACACGGACAGAGUAUAAGCUAAUAAAUUAAUACUGUAAAAGUUGAAUAUAUUGACAAUACUUAUUUUUGUUAGAAUUAUUAUCAAACAUGAAAUCAAAUUUGAAUGUGGUUACAAGUAUAAUUAUUUUUUUUUAUUUUCUAUUUUGUAUCUAAUUUUUUAUGUUUUAAAAUCAUAUUGAUAGAGGAAUUUCAUAGUUUAGUUUUUCUCUUAAUAUUUCAAUUUAGUCCAUCAAAUGACAUUGAUUGUAAUAAUAUAACAUGAAUAUUGAGAGAUCUGGUCUCAAGGUUAUUUAUAUCAAUCCAAUUCAGCUUUUUUGAAAGAAAAAAAAUAAUAUAACAUGAAACCUGAAUCAUUGCAAUAAUUAAAAAAAAGGAAAAAGAGAUGAAAACCAAAAGAUAACCUAAUUAACAAAAAUCAAAAUCGAACAAAAAUCAAAAUCGAAGUGAAAUUGAGAGAAAGCAAACCAAAUCAAGAAGAAUGAGGGAGAAUUGCAAAUAAGAUCGAGAACUCACCUUGAACCAGAUCGAGAAUGUGAACCAUAUCGAGAAGAAUGAGAGAGUGCAAACCAGGUUAAGAAGAACGAGAGAGAUCGAGAAUGCGUACGAGAAAGAGAACGCGAACAGAUCCAAAAGAAUGAGAGAGAUCGAGAACCCUCCAGAGAGAAAGCGAACAAGAAAGAGAGAUUGUGCGUGUCGCAAAUGAGAAAGAGAGACUGCAUGUCGUGAAGAAGAAAAAGUGGGUUGAAAAUGUGUUAUUUUAGAAGUUUAACUAUUUUAAGUUUAAUUUUGGAACAUAAAGGUUAUGUAACAAGGAUUUUACUGGUGAAAAUAUCCUACUUUUAUUUGAAGGCUAAAGUCCCAAAAUCUUGUUGUGGCAUUUCUUGCAACUUUCCUUCAUAACAUUAAAGAGAAUGUUUGGUGGAACAGAUGGUAGGUAUCUUAUAACUAAUCUUUUUUCAAAACUAAAAAGUUGCAACUUCUCUAGGUGGCACUAUCUCGGUCUCUCCCUAAUUUUAUUUUACUCAUUUAUCAUACUAUAAUUAGUAACUUGAUGAUGCUAUAUAUGAUUUAUGCGUAUUUUUUACUUAAUAAUAAAUAUUUUGAAAUAUUAUUUUAUUAUAUAAAUAUAUCAAAUUAAUUUUGAAAAUGAUGAUGUCCUAAGAUGAUGAUAACAAGUUGAUACAAUUACAAAUUAUUGAUCUCAUUUUUUAUUAUUAUAGAAACUUAAUAAAUUUAAGGGUUAGGGUCAUAUUAGUCCCCGUGUUUGUAAAAACGUUUGAUUUUGGUCCCUCAGUCAAAAAACCGCCAGUAAUUGUAUUAUAAACUGUCAGUAACUGUAAAAAAAACCGCCACUAAUCGUCAUUUUUUUGCUAAGGGGCCAAAAUCAAACACUUUUACAAACACAGGGACUAAUAUGACCGUUAACCCUAAAUUUAAUCCCAAAGUCUAAUAUAUUACAAGUAUUAAGUUUCCUAACAUCAUUCAACGCCAUUUAUAAAUUAAGGUAAAAUCAAAUUUGAUUUCUUUUAUGAGACAAACACAGAUAUCAAACGAUAGUAGAAAUUGUUUGGGAAUGUUCGUGAUAAGUUAUAUAUAUAUAUAUAUAUAUAUAUUCAAAACCUAAUAGUUUGAAAUCAAUACUAAUAUUAUUUGCUUGCUCAUAAUUUUUUUAACCAAUUACGUAAUUUUUUACUUUAGAGUAUUUCAUUGAUUUUGUAUGUGUCACUUUCAAGAGUUACACACAAAUAAAGGUUGAAGAUUCUUGCAAUUGAUCAUGAAAGAAAUGCAUGUUCAACAAUAAAUGUUGUUUAUAGGAAUGUUUUUACUUUUUCUUUUAAAGAAAUCAAAUAUAUUGAUUAAAUGGAAGCUGACAUAGACGCCAAUACAUUUACAGACACAAUCGAAAUCAACACUGGCGGUACCUCCUGAUUGCCUCUUUGCAAGUGUACAAAGUUGCCCGUAGUAAUAAAUUAUCGAUCCCUCGAGAAUUGUGAUCAGGGGCGGACCGAUGUGUAAUUUAGGGGGUUCAUCUGAACCUGAACCCCCUGAACAAAAAAUAUUGCACUUAAUUUUCUAUGUAAUUUUUUUUUUUGAACACCCUGAAAAUUUUAAAUUAUACAAGCAGAUUAAGUUUUACACCUGUUUGCACCAAAGAUCGACCUAUUUGCACAACUCUGACUUGUAUAAUUUUUAUGUAUAAACAUAUUAAAGAUGUUUUUAAUUAUAUUUUAACUGAUAUGUUCAUUUGAAAAAUUUGAAUCCCCUGACUCCGGGGUCCUAUAUUCACCACUGAUUGUGAUUCAAUAAUAAUUUCUAUUAUUUCUCUUAUUUAGAUUUAUAAAAGUAAAAACCAAUUUCUGAUUUUAGAAGUAGUGAUGUUGUACGCAAUAAGUAACACAGAAAAUUAAAUAGAUUUGAGAAUUCAGUUGGGAAAAAUAGCAUUCGGGUAUGUUUUACCUAUUUGUCCUAUGUUUCAGUUUUAACAAUAUUUAUAUGAACUCAAUAAACCUCCCUUCGGCGAUCUAGCUUUUAUUCUAGGAUGUUGAUAACUCACACGCCCUAGACUUCCAAUUCAAAUACUAAGUCUGUCUUACGAGCACCUACACCAGAGAAUAGAAGAUUAAGUCAUAAUUAAACUAGUCAACGCAACUAGAUUAUACUCUUGAAUCAAGCAGUAGGGAACGCCUAAUCGAAUCAAAUUCUUAUUUCCCUAAUUCCUAAUCAACUUCCGUUCUCAUAGAAAUUAGCAAGUUCCUUGCGUGCACUCAAGAAUAAACAAUAUAAAUUGAUUCAAUUACGAAGAUUGGAAAAGAUAAUUCAUAUAAAUAACGAUUCAAAUCAAAACAUAGUUCAAAACGGAUUUACAACCCAAGUACUAAAAGAAGUUUAGCCAAGCAUGGUCAUAAUCGAGAAUUCAAGAGAAAGAAAAAAUAGCACCUAAAGUCUCCAUGAGUAACCUUGAAAAAACUCUCAGAACCUAGGAAGUUUGUGCUCAAUUCCAAUCACCAAAAGCUCCAUCAAAAUAAAAGUAACGUUCAAUAUAUGUUCUUUCAACAACCAUUGCCAUGUGUUAGCUAACGAUUGGCCAAGCUUUAAACGGGUGGAAUCCAGCCCUUCUCGCACCACCAUCUUACGGUGAACCUCUUCCAAGACCACGCCACAUGGCAUGGUGGAAUCCAGCGCUUCUCGCACCACCAUCUUAUGGUGAACCUCUUACAGGACCGCGCCACAAGGCAUGGAAGCUCCGUGGACCAGCAGCACCAGAUCAACUCCCUUUUUCUGACUUUCUCUUUUCUUUUUAUUCUGAAAAUCCUAAAUAAAAUAACAAGAUAAAUUAAAAUAAAAUACUAAAAAGAUAAUAAUCCAAAAAUAAACAACCUAAAUUCUAACUAAAUCUAUAAUUUAAAAAGUACUAAUUAAUAAUAAGAUAAAAACUACUAAAAUCUAGCAAAUCAAAAUAAAAACUCAUAAAAUCCUAAAUUAAUUAAAAAUACAAAAAUCAUAUAAAAAAUACCAUAAAAACUAAUUAAAACUCAGAAAAAUAAAAUAAAAAUAAAAUAAAAGACCUACAAAAAUACCAUUAUAUCUCCGGGUUAACACCUCUUCAAUCCAGACAGACCCGGAAAAAGAAGAGGCAUGCCUAGUCAGGAAGUCCACAACUUUAUUCCCAGAACGACGAACAAAUUUUUUUACUAGAAUUUGACUAAAAUUAUAUUUGAUAAUUUUUAGGACGAACAUGUGUGUUCAAUUUAUCUUUUUAUUACAAAUUUGUGUCUUUUAUAUACCAGUUGUGACACGGGUUCAACACUAAUAAACUAAUUGUUAUGUGUGGUUAGAAACUUAUAUUCUGGUAUUCCUCCAUGAUUUCUCCAGUUACCAAUUUUAAUUGGCGCAAUAAUUAAUUAUUAAUUUUUGUGUUUCUUACUUGAUUUUCUUGGUAAUAACUAACACCGCUCUUCAUUAUUGUUCCUAUAUAUAGCAUUGUCAUUUGGGACAUCAUUUCUCGCCUGCAUCAAAUAGUCUUUCGUGUUUCAACUACAAAGACCAUCCUCAUACUUCAAUUUUCUUUCAAUGGAAUUGGGAAGCAUAACUCACUUCCUUCAGGACAAGAAUAUUUUGGUCAUUGGGGCCACUGGCUUCCUUGCCAAAGGUGCUUCUCUCAUUCUGUUUCUCUAUCAGAGCUCACAAUUAUUGUGUGUGGAUAUAUAUAGUGAUGUUGUUUUUUUUAUAUACUUUGUACCGGAUAUUGCAGUCUUUGUGGAGAAGAUACUUAGAGUUCAACCAAAUGUGAAGAAACUUUAUCUUCUUUUGAGAGCCACAGAUGCCAAAUCUGCCACUACAAGACUGCAUAAUGAGGUAUGUCAUUACAUCUUUCUUUCACCUUUCCAUGCUCAUUCUGUUUGGGAGAGGCUAUAUCAUCACUCUCUCCAAUUUGUGAUGUCAUUUUUUAAGAGAAAAGCAAAAGAAAUAAAUUUAUUAGAAUAAUAUUAACUUGAGAACAAUGUUAGAAAACGAGGGUAUAUAUAUGUUUGAUUACACUGUUUUUUAAAACGUUAUUUAAAAAAAAUAAGACUGUUUGAAUGAGAUGUUUUUCAACAUUAAAAAAUUGUAAUAUGAAACUAAAUUGAAAUAAAAAAUAUAUUUUAUAUGUUAUGGCAUUUUAGUUUUUAAAAACUAAAAUUGAGAACUAUUUUCAAAAGCAGUUUUUAAAAACAAGCAAGUUUUCAAAUGUUCAGUUUUAAAAAAAUUAAAAACUGCUUUCCAAAGGCGGUAAUCAAACAAGCUCAAUAUCUGAGAAGCCACUCCGCGGCAAUAACCACAAUUUUAAAGUAAAAUUAAUUUCAUCGAACUCCAGUACAAAUUCUAAGAGGCAGUUUUACCAAGAGUUUUAUUCCCCACUUAAUAUAUACUCCCUCCUUUUCAAAAUAUAGGUUAUUUUAGAUUGUGCACAUUGUUUAAGAACUCAUUAAUUGAUAAAUAUUUUGAUUGAAAUACCCCUAUUUAAAAUUUUGUUAUAUUAAGGAGAGAGAAAUAUUAUUAUUGGUUAAGUGAAUAGUGAGAGUUGUGAUAGGUGAAAAUUGGAGGUGAUAAUUAACAGAUAUAAUAUUAAAUGAGGAUAUAUGUCAUAUGAGGAAGAAAGAGAGUAAAAAUGCAUUAGUUUGCAAAACAACUUAUAUUUUAAAAUAUAGUUCAAAUUUUAAAACAUACAUUUUAAAACGGAGGGAGUAACAUCUUGAAGCUCUCACAGAAAAUUAAUGCCUAAACAUAUAAGUGACAAGAAAAGAGGUAGGAGUAAUCAAAAGAAUCAUCAUUUGGGUGUUGCACCACAAGAGAAAUGAAAAUGAAAUGGAGAGAACAAAUGAUAGUUAAAUGCCAUUAUCCAACAAACAACUCCCACGAGUGUUGGGAAUAAUCAAGUGUCAAACACAAUUAUUCCCUUCGUUCCAGAAAAUUUGUAGUUUAAGGUUGUGGCACAAAGAGUAAGAAAACAAUUAUUGAUAGUAUAAUUUGACUAUAUUGUCCUUAUUUAAUUUUACUAGUAUGAUGUGCAACUAUUAAAUUAUACUCCUCCAGUCCUAUUUAUAAGCAGCAAAAAAAAAAUUCACAUAGUUUAAGAAAUGUAGUUAAACUAGAUAAAAUGCAUUAAAUAAGUCUUGAAUCAAAAUAAACUUCCAAAAUUACACUUUGUUAUUAGUGUUGUAUAGUGGGAAAAAGAGAAAAUAAUUAAAGAGACACAUUUUACAAGUUAGAAUUGAUAAGGGCAUCAUUGAAAAAAAAAAUUAAUAUAGCUCAAACUUUCAUUUGGUUCUUAUAAAAAGGACCAAGAUUUUUCUUCUUUUUCAUGCUUAUAAAUAGAUAGAUCAGAGGGAGUACUUAGAUAGAGAAGAAUGUAAUUAAUAGAGAAGAGUUGUGGUUGGUUAAUAUUAAAGGUGAUAAGUGAGAGAAAAUGUAUUAAAUGGGGGAUAGAGGUGGAAUAAAUUAGCAAAAAAUGCAUUGGUUUUCUAAAACAACAAACAUUUUAGGAUAUUGAAAAAUGAUGCAAAAUAACAAACUUUCUGGAAUGGAGAAAGUACUUUUUAACUAAUGAUGCUUGCUUAUCACACCCUGUUUAGUUAAAUUUAGUGUAACUUUCACGCAGGGUCGGCCCAAGGGCCAAGUCACCCAAGUAAGGGUUUUAGGUCUCCAAUUUUAUUUUUAUUUUACCCAGUAAAAAAAGGCCUCAAAAAUUUUUUUUAUUAAGUAAAAAAGGCCCCAAAAAAUUUAAUAAAUAAAUAUUUCUUUAGGUAAAAAGACCUCACUUUUAAAGUUUGUUUUAGGCAUCGUUUAAUAUUGGGCCGACCCUGCUUUCACGAAGAGAGACAAAGAAACAGAAGUGAGAGAUACGAAAAAUCAUGUAAUGAGAAAAGAAUAAAGAAAAAUAAAAGAGCAUUGCUAGGUGGUACGAAAACGAAACUCAUAAAUGUUGAAAUUUUUUAAUUGAACCGUAACCUUUUAACAUAAAUCAUGUGCCCUUCUUUACUAUAAAGUGAUGUAUGAUUGCCACCUAUCAACUCAUAAUUAACUUUCGUAACGUAAAAGGACUGUAACAAUUAGCAUUUCCCAAAGAAAAUAUAGCUCAAAUUGAGAUGGAAGAUAAAUUGGAUGUGAAUGUGUCAAAGUUGUUAAUUAAAGCUCUGCAAAAUAGUUGUAUUCUAUUAGCAUUAUGACAUUUAUACCAUUAUUUAUUUUGAAAACGAAAAAAGUAGCAACUCUUCUUUGUAGCACCUUUGUGAGGUUUGAGUUUACUUUUUUCUUACACUAUAAUUAAAAACCUAAUGAUGUUAUGUAUAAUUUUAUGCAUAUUUUUACUUGAUAACAAAUAUUUCAAAAUAUCAUUUUAUGUCAUAAAUAUUUCAAAUUUUAGAAAUAAUGAUAACAAAUUAACAUAAAUUGAUAGAAUUACAAAAUCAUUGAUCUCAAUCUUUAUUAGGGUUAAUGGUCAAAUUAGUCCAUGUGUUUGUAAGCAAAUUUGAUUUCAGUCUCUAUGAUGAAAAAUGACGUCCAGUGACGGUCAAAAACCGCCAGUAAUUGCAAAAAUGACCGCAUCUUAACGUCAUUUUUCCUCAUGAGGAAUAAAAUCAAACUCGAACAUAGAGACUAAUUUGAAUAUUAACCCUCUUUAUUAUUAUGGAAACUUAAUAAAGUUGGUCCCAAAAUUUGGUCAUUACAAUUAUUAAGUUUCCUAACAUUGUACUAGUAAUAUAAAAUAAUGAUAUUUUAGUAACAUUGUACAACCAAUAAUUGUAAUUUUAUACCACAACCUUAAACAACAAUUUUCGUGAAAUAGAUGAGUGUAACUUCCUUGCUUAUUUUAUUUCCAAUUAUAUUAUUAUAUUUUUUUCUAGCUACUUAGGUUAUACAUGACACGCCUAGUUGUUAAGCUAGAUGAGAGCUUAUAAGUUAGUUGAAAGUUGAAGACUGAAAGCUUAAAACUUAACUAAUUGCAAAGAAAUAUUUGGCGAAACGUGAACAGCUUGAAUUUGUAAAACGACACAAUAUACAUAUUUAUAUUUUUAUAUAUAUAUAUGUGAUUAUUAUUUUUUAUCUAACAUUACUUUAUUUACACAUCAAUAUCAAAUAACUAUCACUUCAAAUAUUUUAAUUUAUUUCAAAUUGUAUAUCAGAAAAAAUAAAUAAUAUUUUUUAACUUGCUUUCAUAUUUUAAUUUUUUAUUACACUAAUAGGAUAGUAAAAUAACAUUAUAUUUUAAGUAGUAAAUAAUUUAAUAUUUAUCUAAAUAAAAUAUUUUAGCAGGUGUAAUGAUGACAACUUUAUAGGAGUUAUUGUUCAUAAUUAGUGUUUGUAUUUUUUAAAGGUGCAACGAUGACAACUUUAUAGAAGAUAAAUAUCCCAAUUUGGAAGAGCUUAUUUGAGCUUAUCUGAUAGCAUAAACGCUUAUGCUAGUGUUUGUGAGAGUUUAUGCAAACAACUUAUGGUGCCAUAAUUUUGGCUUAUUUUCAUAAGCUAUCAUAAAUAGCUUAUGAAAAAGAGCUUAUGCUUAUGAAUAAACACUUAUGUCAUAAACGCUUAAUUAAGCUGUUUUUGCAAAUGGGGCCUUAGUGUUUUCUAGUUAGACUAGGCGCUCUAACAUUCCUUGCACAUAGAAACAAACUUAUUAUUUUUUAGAAAGGGUGUACACUCACAUUAAUUAACCCAAAACAUUUUUUUUAGUUUAAAAAGAUUUGGACUUACUUUGUAGUAAACUCUAGCAUGACAUGUCUCUCGCUUUGGGUUAAAGGCUUUAGAAAGGCCUUCUGUUAUUCUGAUUCUUCCGCUACAGUGACAUUGAUUAAGAAAGCUCUAUCCCCUCAGCACUAAGCAUGCCUCUUUGAUUGGCAACAUUAAAGUCUUGUCGGCUCGUUCUUGAGAGGUGCGUUUGGCUCAUACGUUUCGAGAAGAGAAUGCAUGUGCGAACUUCCUUGCUUAGGUUGUCUCUCAGCGAAAUCUAGUGGACCCACAUUAACCGAAAACUUGUUUUUUAUUAAUUUUCUUUAACCCACAAAUUAAACCUAAAUAAAAAAAGGCCAUACUAUGUUGGGCCACAAGGCCCAGUUAGCAAUACAGAUGGAUAAUAUGAUUUAAAACAGAAAAUUAACCUAAACCUCUUACUGGGCUCGGCCCAUUGAGUCUGUGAGGCGCGGUGGAGGAGCGCCCUUUGCGGUGUACGUCGACGGAGCAGCACGGCUCUCGAUGGUUGCUCCGGCUGGGUGAAAGCAAGCAAUCUGUUUGUUACUGCUACGUUAUUUUCAUGUGUAGAUUAUAGAGAAGGACUUGUUUAGAUUGUUGAAGGAAAACCUGGGUGCAAACUUCAAUACAUUUGUCUCUCAAAAGUUGACUUUGGUCCCUGGUGACAUCUCUCAAGAGGACUUGAAUUUGAAGGACUCUGUUCUACGGGAAGAGAUUCGCAAUCAAACUAAUGUUAUAAUUAAUUUUGCUGCCACAACUAACUUCCGUGAAAGGUAUCAUGUAUUCAGAACCAGAUUUAUAUCUACGUGUUUCAUAAGAAAAUUAUUGUUUGUCUCUCAAUUUCAUGAUAGUUAGAAUAAAUAAGUUGUGUAUAUUUUUUACUCGUCACUUAUUAUUAUUAUAUGCAGAUAUGAUGUUGCGUUGGGUAUAAAUACAUUUGGAGUAAAGCAUGUCUUAAGCUUCGCCAAAACUUGUACUGACUUGGAGGUUCUUGUGCAUGUAUCAACAUGUCGGUAUUCAAAUUAGUUAGUGUGUUUGAAAUAAUGUGAGAUGUUCACUUUUUGUCUCGAAAUAAGUGCUAAUGUCUAUUUGUAGUUGUGUCAACGACUCAACGGGUAUCGAAACAUAGCCUUAGAUUAUCUUAGACUUCGUAGAAGUCUUUAUUUAAUCAGAUUCUUCCCAAGCUUGGCUGAUAUGAAUCAAUAUGUUUUCAGCAUAUGUAUGUGGUGAGGGGAAAGGACUCAUACUAGAGGAUCCAUACCAAUUGGGUGUGUCUCUAAAUGGAAUAUCAGGACUAGACAUUGAUGUGGAAAAGAAAGUGGUGGAGGAGAAGCUGAACAUGCUUCAAGAAGAGGGAGCCUCCGAAAAGGAAAUUAAAAUGGCCAUGAGGGACUUAGGUAUGGAAAGGUAAGCCAUGUUAAAUUUUACAAAGGCAAAUUCAUAUAAUAUACUAACAAACAUCAAAACAUAAAUGUAUUUGGUUGUAUCUUGACAAAUUAUCAGAGCAACUCAAUUUGGAUGGCCAAACACGUAUGUUUUCACUAAGGCAAUGGGAGAAAUGCUUGUUGGAACUGUGAAGGAAAACAUGUCUGUUGUUAUUGUGCGGCCUACAAUCGUUCUCAGCACUUACAGAGAACCUUUCCCAGGUUGGAUUGAAGGUGUAAGGUAAAUCACCAAAUUUUAUAUCAUUCAUUAUGUUCAUGUGCAUGCAUUAAUUACAUUGCAUCACAGUUACACUUGGUAUUGUUGCAUUUUGAAAUUUGAAUCAUAGUUUUAUGUCCCUUUAAUUUGCUUUCCAAUACCAUGGCAGAGUAAGCAUAUAAAUAACCAAGUUUUUCUUAUGAUGCCCCAUUGCCCCUUGCUGCAGAACCAUUGACAAUUAUUUUGUUGCUUAUGGUAAAGGAAAGUUAAAAUGCUUCCUUGGGGACCUUGAUGUAGUUUGUGACGUGGUGAGUGUCCCUAUACUAAACAUUUAAUCUUCUGUCCCAAAUUGAUGCCUUAAUUUCUUGUCCCGCUGAAAAAUCUGGCCGCAUCAAUUAAAAAGGACAUAAGUGAGGCAAUUACAAACUUACGUCGUGAUUUUUAAUUGACGUGUCAACAUUUCAUUGACAUGACAGAGAAUGAGACAUGUACAGUUUGGUGACUAGAGAUUUCAGUCCCCCAACUUUUCUCUACAAAUUAUAGACUCUCCAAUUCAUUCUUUGCUCAAAGUGGAUAUAACUAUGCUGAAACCAAUGCAGAUACCAGCUGACAUGGUGGUGAAUGCAAUACUAGUAGCCAUGGUGGCUCAUGCAAAUCAUCCUUGUGAUAUCAUAUAUCAUGUGGGUUCCUCUGUUUCAAAUCCAGUCACAUACCUCAAGUUUGAAGACUACAUCUACAGAUAUUUUACUGCAAAACCAUACAUAAACACAGAUGGAAAGCGUGUCAAGAUUGGCAAACUUACAAUAUUGCACAACAUGGAUAGCUUUCACAGAUACAUGUUCAUUCGUUACGUGCUUCCAGCAAAGGUUGUUUCUAGUCCUUGAUUUCUACUUCAGAUUCAUCUAUUCAUGUCAUAUUACACCCACUGUCAAAUUUACUUUUAACAAUAAUAAUAAGGCUAAAUAGUACUUGUAGCUAUUAAACUUUUACAAAAUCCGUUAUUUUGGUCUCUAUUGUCAAAUAACCACUUAUCCCAAAAGCUUAAACUGUUGGGUAAAUGCCACAUCAAUGAUUUUAUAUUAUAUUCUAACACGCUCCCUCACGCAAGAGCCUUUUUGGGCUUGAAGCGUGGAUAAAUGCACAGACUCACCUACCAUGUGCUUAAUUAAAUUCUACUUUUUAAUUAGAAAGUGAGGGAAGCAAGGAUCGAACUCUAGACCUCUCGGCCAUAGAUGCUCUGAUACCAUGUCAAAUAACCACUUAUCCCAAAAGCUUAAGCUGUUGGGUAAAGACCACAUCAAUGGUUUUAUAUUAUAUUCUAACAUCUAUAGUUUCAAUUGCUCCAAUUAAGUCCGGCCUCAACUUUUAAAAUUGAAGAAAUGGGGCUCUGCAUUAACUUAUCACCCAAUAAUUAAUGGAAAAGCUAACAUGGAUCACAGUGCUUACCUGUGUAGUUUGCAUUUUAACAGGGGCUAGAGCUGGUUAAUGCAGCAUUUUGCCAAUAUUUUGAGCACAAAUGUCGUGACAUAAACAGGAAGAUCAAGAUCGUAAUGCAGUUGGUUGAAGUCUUCAAGCCUUACUGUUUCUUCAAUGGCGUGUAAGUUAACUAGCAGCAAAAGUAAGGUGCCAAUUACUUAACACAUUUGAUAUUAAUUUGCUGAGACAAUUAAGCUUCUUUUGAUCACAGGUUUGAUAAUAUGAACACAGAAAAGUUGCUGAUAGCGGCAAAACAAGGUGGGGUAGAAAUGGAUUUGUUUUACUUUGACCCAAAAAUGAUUGAUUGGGAAGACUACUUCAUGAAUAUCCAUUUCCCUGCUCUCGUCAAAUAUGCCUUCAAGUGAUUGAUUCCAACUCUGAAAUCUGAAUUUGUUUAUAGCUCUUGUCUUUAGAAACUUGUAAUGUUCCUUGAGUAAACUAUGCUUCUGAGAUUAUAUAAUGUUGUGUUAAUAAUCAUGGAACGUAAUUAUAUGUAAUCUAUCUUACAUGUGGCAUGUGCUUCAGAUUUUAUCAAGUGACUCAAAUAUUUAUGUAUGGUAUGGAUCAACUUACAUUCGUGUAUUACACUAAGUAAUAAUAGGGGGAUAAGUAGCUCACAUGGUGAGCUAAGGGAAAUGAAGAGUAUUUAUUAAAGAGUCAAAGGUCAGGGUUCAAACUUUAAUGAAGAAACUAAUUUACCAAUAAUUAACUACUAACAUUUGCGUAAAAAAACACUAUUUAAUAUUAAAUAUGUAGUUUACUUUUAGUAUUAUACUAGUUGAAUUCUCGUGCACUGCACGAGUUACUUUAUCAUUAAAUUUGUGUAGUAUUAUCUUUUUUUAAGUUUUGUAAUUUUAAUUGCACAAAUAUUUUUUAAAGAACUAAAAAAAUACUUGUGCAAAGUUGCACAAACCUAACUUGACCUAAUAAAAAAAAAAUUCAUCGCCAAAAUAUAGAGAUUUAAAUCAAUGAUAAAUUUUAUAUUGAAAAUCAUCUCUUCAUAAAAUAUGUCACUAAUUUUAUUCAUGUUACUCAUCAUCCAAGGUUUUUAUUAUGAUAGAUUUUGAUAUUCCGUUGCAAAAUUUAAAUGAGUUAAGAUGAGGUAUAUUUUAGAUAAGAAUGAAAUGAAGUGUUAUAUUUUAACUUCAGAGAGUGAAUGUAUUUUAAUCUUAGAAAAAUAUUAUGAAUUACAAAAACCUUUUACAUAUAUAUAGAUAGUAUUAUAUGCUAUUGACUAAAAUUAUAGCCUUUGAAUAUCAUCUAUCAAUAUCAAUUUACAAAACAAUUUAAUAAUUAUGCAGAUAAUAUAGAUACAUUUUAUAUAAAUAUUUAAUUACAUUUUAUUAUCUUACCAUAUUAUUAUAAAAUAAAAAAUCACAAAAAAGUAAAUUUGAUAACAAUAUAUACUAAAAUGGUGGAUUUUGCUAAAGUAUAAUACAUCCAAUAAAAAAGGGAAAAAAAACAGGUGGAUAUUAAUCAUAGAAUAGUGCUAAAUAUUAAGCAUUGAAGGCUUAAUACAUGCAGAUGAUAAAGCAAAAACAUUGAUUGAACAGUUACAGUGGUGAGAGAAGCAAUAACCUUAUCAAAGGCUAGCAGACUGAGCAGGCGGUGGCGGCACCACAUAAUCAACCACAACCACGCUCUCAAGCUGAUCCCUAGCCUUAUCCUUAUGAUAACUCACCAGCUCACCGUUCGAAUCCACCUCAUCCAACUCUCCCUAUCCAGGAAAAACCGCCAGGGAAGCAAUCGAGAAGCCCUUGGCUCUCGCCGGGGAGAAAUUCUCACCGCAACUGAGCUGACUAAUCUGCUUGAAGCUCUCUGGAAUUCCUCUGAUAACCCCUAGAACCUCAUCGCUCGCCGCAUUCUCCUUCAAUUUCAACAAGGUAAGUCGCAUCGCCGAUCCCUGCGGCGUGACGAGAUCGCCGCGGAGGUCGUCGGCGACCAUGAGGUCGUCGAUGAUUGGAAGCACGUUUCCCCUGACGACGCCGAGAUGGCUGGGGUGCGCGGAGUAGGCGUCGAGAUCUUCCUUGGAGUUAUAGCGACUGUGGAGCAUGUGGGUGAAGGUCAAGGAGGAGGAUCGGUUGCGAAGGAUAGGGCCCACCGUGAGGUGGAGGACAUGGUCGAGGGAGAUGAGGGAGCUGAGGCCAUUGACCAUGGCGGUGACCUUGGAGGGUUCGGUGUCGUCUUUGACCUUGAAGAGGACGAUGUGCUCCACGGUGGUUGAGCACAGGAAUGUGACUGGAAACGAUAGCUGCGGUUUCAGUCUUAAACUCUGCAUCGUUUACCACAGGAAUGCGACUGGUGAAUAUGUAAUUGUUUUUAUUCGAAUCUGAAUGAUGUAUCUCUUUCUUUUUUCCCACGUUUCCGUAGGUAGGAGCUGAGGCCCAUUAAUAGUAUAUGGGCCGAAUGACCCAAAGGAUGGUAGGUAAUAUAGAGGCCAAUUUUAGGAGUUAAGGCCCAUUAGCUAGUUACAGAGGUCAGAGGGUAGCUAAAACAAACACCACAAAGAACAUUGGCAUAAACCAAAUUAUUAACCUCUACCCAACCGGGUCUAGGCCCAAGCAAUGUGGAUGACCUUGGGCUGUUGAAAGAAGACAUUGGACUUGGGAGGCCAGUCCUCCUCCAGGACUACCCUAGCCCUACCAAGGAUGGGUCAAGCCACUUUUCCUCUAACCUCUCUCAGGAAGAGCUUAGACGGUGCUCCCAAGCCUUGGCCCCUGGCUCCAGGCUUGCCAUCAUCAGUAGGGAACUCAACAAAGUAGCUUGAGGGUUGCAUGGGCUUCUGUUGGGUGGGACGUGGCUCCCAGACUCCAGCAGGGGUCCCUGACAGUGGGGAGAUGUGGGACCUUGGGACAUCUUUAGUGUAGUGAUGACCCGAGAUUUAAGACUAUUUUCCUAGUUUAUUUGCAUACAUUUUAAUAUAUUUUUUUAGGAUAUUUCAGUCAUUAUGGGACACUUUAGGCUUAUUUCAUGCAUUUUAAUAUUUUUAUUUAGUUUUAGUAUUUUUCUAUGUUUUAUAUUAUUUUCUAGAUAUUAUUAGGAUUUAUUUACUUUAAUUUAGGAUGAGAUAAGUUUAUUUUAAGGUGUUAUCUUAUUUUUAUCUCUUAUAUAUUUUUAUUUGCUUUAUUUUAGGAGAUGAUUUGAAGAAAAAUAGAAAAAAUCCAAGAAAUAAGGAGAAAUUCGUACCUGGCAUCUUUCCCAACGGACGAAACCGCUGCAAUAGCACCAAAUUUCACCUGUUGUUUAAUGUAGCGAAAAUUAAACCGCUGCGAUAGGUCCUGCACGGAAGAGAACGAUUAAAACCCUAUAAAUUCCGUUUUGACCUAUUUUUUUUAGGAUCUUUUUCAUCUUUCUUUUCUCCAAAACCUAAUAAACACCUUUGGGAGACUUUGAGGCAAUUUCUUGGUGGAGAGGAAGGCUAGGCCCUUGAGGGCCGGUGUCAGGGCCAUGGAGGAGGUGACAGCUUCUCCGGACGUCCAUGACUCCGUUCUAUUUUGGUUUUUGUUUUUCUCUUCACCUAUUUUUAUGUUUUGACUCUAUUUUAGUAUUUUGGAUGAUGUAGUUUGAUUUUACUCUUAUUCAAUACAUCUUUAUGCAAUUAUAAGUAUGUGUUUCCAUUAUUUGGCGUUUCUCUCUAUGCUUAGUGCUUCUAUUGGUCGAUUGAUAAUUUUAAGGGUUUAUAUUUGGAAUGGGCGGGACAUAAAGGAUACUUAUGCCCGCCCGAAUCGAGUAAUCAGAUGAACGAAAGACACCUUGGCGGGAUUCACGGAACAACAUUGAAUCCCGCCCUUACUUUAGCCAGGCCCACACGCCAGCUGGAAGAUUCCUUUAGAUUUGUCUUAUAUGUAUAGAGACUUGGGCCCCGGUUGUCAGGCCCAAGUACAGUGAAAGUCCACAUCAUGAUCACUCCCUCUAUAAAAGGAGAGGUCAACAUCUUGUAAAAAGUACCUUUUGAACAUUUAAUGAGAAUAUUCCUUUUAUGAUAUUUUUAGUACUCUGCUAGGGUUUACUUUCUGUCAGUCUUUUACGUCAGAUCUCCCUAGUACAGAACAAUAUUAAUUCGUAAAUAAAUUGAGAAAUUGAUAUGAAUUAAUGUAGCUUAGUUCAUAAAAAGAGGAAAAACACCUAUGUCUUAGGUUUAAUAAUUCUCUUUGCGCGUUCAUGUAUCUUUUACCAAUUUGAUGCUUUUUAGGAUUUACAUGACAAUUGAGAAGUUGGUGUAAAUUUAGUUUAUGAGAGGAACCACCCUUGCAUCAGUCAUCUUAAGAAAGACAUGUCUUAGGUAGAGUUAAGGUUUUCUAGGUGACAAUAGGAGACAUUAACUCUUAGGUAUGAAUAUCAUGAGUUGGGAAAGAGAUCUAUACCGAGUGACAAGUCGGGAUACUCACCUCUCUAGUAUAGGAUCAUCUAGUAGGAACUAUUAUGAUUUCUUGAGUGACAGUCAGGGAUUCUAUCCACUAGGACAUGAACUUCUUAGGUUAGGAACAGAGCUUGGGAAUGUCUUAUCGAGUAUGUAUGUGCUAUAAUGCUCCUUUAUGAUCACUAGGAAUUAAGGAAUUAAGGCUAGGUUCUUAAUUGGUAGAUUCACUUAGCUAAGAAAUUAGUAGGUGAAUAGCUCUUAUCGGCAUCUUAAAUGUUAACUUCAUCUUAUAAGAGUAUAUUGGUUGAGAAUAAGUUGUAAAUCAAUGAACUCAUUUUCCAAAUACAUUUUCUUCUUUGUUUGCCUCCGUGAAACUUCUUUUAUCGCUUUAAUUAUAGUUUUUCCUAAAUUUAAAUAAAACACAUAUUAUGUUUAAACUGUUCAAACAAUGUUUAGCUAGUGAAAUUAAUACGUAGCAACACAAUCCCUGUGGAGACGACAAAACCCGAUACUAUACUACGAUUGAGUCUUGAAAGGGAUUUGAUAGUAGCUAGUGGAGGAAAACCUCUUCAUUAAAUAUCCUUUCAUCAAAAUGGCGCCGUUGCCGAGGAUUGUGCUUCCGCUUGUAUUAGUUAAGCUAGCUGGGUGUUGUUUAGAGCAUUAUUAUAGUAGGCAUUUUUUUUUUGUUAUGCUCUUACAUGUCAAUUCAAUUGAUUUGUUCUUGUGCUGAAUGCUUGUUGUGGCCUGAUCAACUAUAACAUGAUAUGAGGUUUGGAAUUCUAUGAACCUGACUUAGAAUGAAUUAGCUAGUGGAUUUAAUGAGAAUUAAGUUCAUUAGUCAUGAAUUGAUGAUUUGAUGCAUAGGAUUUUGAGUCAUAGUGUCUCAUUAAAUUAUUUGAGUUCUGUUGUGGUGUUUUAAUUUGUGUGCUCGUUUUUGCAAUGACUAAGUGAUUUUACAGGGAUCAAUCUGAGUUAGAGGGCCCAACUGACCAUGUCCUGGUGCUUUCAAGUUUGCACCGAAUCUGAGUACAGAGAGUUUUAUUGAACCACUCAUCUCUCAUUUAAUUUCAUGAUCAUGCAUUUAGCAUUUAGUUAUUUAGAUUGCACACACUAGUAUGCACAUGCCUUGGAUUCUUGGUAUUCACACUUUUAUGCUUGAAUAAUGCUUGUUGUUGUUUUUAAUAUCUGUUCUGGGUUUGAUGCUAGUUGUUAUAAUAAAAAGUGUUUGAUGCAUGAGUGUGAGUGAAACUUGUGGAACAUGUGGAGAGUGAGGUGAUAGAGACUUGAGUGAGUUUUGGGAAAGUUCAGUAAGGUUAUUAAGAUUCCAGGUUAGUGGGGAUAAUGCAUAAAAUAUGUAGUUUUCAUUUUAAUCUUUAUAUUGAGUCUACACUCUUUUUGGUUGUUAGAUUAAAAUGGGGCACACAUGUGAAAGUAAAGCUAAAGCGCUAAAAAUGAAGAAGAAAAAAUAGGGAAAGGAUGUGAGUAAGGGAAUGGGAAGUAUUUGCACCACUAAGCAUACCCCCAAUCAUAUCCUGACCUUGUUAAAUAAAAGAAAAGAAUUUCGCCCUGAGUUGGUAAUAACUGUGAAGGGCUAAAUUCAAAAGAAAAUAACAUGUGUGUGCUCAGAAUAAAAUAAAAUUGUUGGCCAUCAUUAGUGGAUUCUCAAUAUGGGGUUGGAGAAAUAGGAAUGAAAUGUGAAACCUCAUAUCUUGGUAUUUUCAAUAAUUCUUGUUCGCACUUACUAAAGGUUACUCAGUUUUUAAAGCUUAAUUCUCUGCAUGAACUAUUUUGAGGAACUCAUCCCAUGUAUCUUUUGUGAAAACAUGUAUACUUGCAUCUUACCUUGAACUAUUUUCUUGAGCUUGAGGACAAGCAACCUUAAGUUUACGCUUGAGGACAAGCUGCCGUUGAGUAUAGGGGUAUUUUGAUGAAAGGAUAUUUAAUGAAGAGGUUUUCCUCCACUAGCUACUAUCAAAUUCCUUUCAAGACUCAAUCGUAGUAUAGUAUCGAGUUUUGUCGUCUCCACUAGCUAAACAUUGUUUGAACAGUUUAAACAUAAUAUGUGUUUUAUUUAAAUUUAGGAAAAACUAUAAUUAAAGCGAUAAAAGAAGUUUCACGGAGGCAAACAAAGAAGAAAAUGUAUUUGGAAAAUGAGUUCAUUGAUUUACAACUUAUUCUCAACCAAUAUACUCUUAUAAGAUGAAGUUAACAUUUAAGAUGCCGAUAAGAGCUAUUCACCUACUAAUUUCUUAGCUAAGUGAAUCUACCAAUUAAGAACCUAGCCUUAAUUCCUUAAUUCCUAGUGAUCAUAAAGGAGCAUUAUAGCACAUACAUACUCGAUAAGACAUUCCCAAGCUCUGUUCCUAACCUAAGAAGUUCAUGUCCUAGUGGAUAGAAUCCCUGACUGUCACUCAAGAAAUCAUAAUAGUUCCUACUAGAUGAUCCUAUACUAGAGAGGUGAGUAUCCCGACUUGUCACUCGGUAUAGAUCUCUUUCCCAACUCAUGAUAUUCAUACCUAAGAGUUAAUGUCUCCUAUUGUCACCUAGAAAACCUUAACUCUACCUAAGACAUGUCUUUCUUAAGAUGACUGAUGCAAGGGUGGUUCCUCUCAUAAACUAAAUUUACACCAACUUCUCAAUUGUCAUGUAAAUCCUAAAAAGCAUCAAAUUGGUAAAAGAUACAUGAACGCACAAAGAGAAUUAUUAAACCUAAGACAUAGGUGUUUUUCCUCUUUUUAUGAACUAAGCUACAUUAAUUCAUAUCAAUUUCUCAAUUUAUUUACGAAUUAAUAUUGUUCUGUACUAGGGAGAUCUGACGUAAAAGACUGACAGAAAGUAAACCCUAGCAGAGUACUAAAAAUAUCAUAAAAGGAAUAUUCUCAUUAAAUGUUCAAAAGGUACUUUUUACAAGAUGUUGACCUCUCCUUUUAUAGAGGGAGUGAUCAUGAUGUGGACUUUCACUGUACUUGGGCCUGACAACCGGGGCCCAAGUCUCUAUACAUAUAAGACAAAUCUAAAGAAAUCAUCCAGCUGGCGUGUGGGCCUGGCUAAAGGAAGGGCGGGAUUCAAUGUUGUUCCGUGAAUCCCGCCAAGGUGUCUUUCGUUCAUCUGAUUACUCGAUUCGGGCGGGCAUAAGUAUCCUUUAUGUCCCGCCCAUUCCAAAUAUAAACCCUUAAAAUUAUCAAUCGACCAAUAGAAGCACUAAGCAUAGAGAGAAACGCCAAAUAAUGGAAACACAUACUUAUAAUUGCAUAAAGAUGUAUUGAAUAAGAGUAAAAUCAAACUACAUCAUCCAAAAUACUAAAAUAGAGUCAAAAUAUAAAAAUAGGUGAAGAGAAAAACAAAACCCAAAAUAGUACGGAGUCAUGGACGUCCGGAGAAGCUGUCACCUCCUCCAUGGCCCUGACACCGGCCCUCAAGGGCCUAGCCUUCCUCUCCACCAAGAAAUUGCCUCAAAGUCUCCCAAAGGUGUUUAUUAGGUUUUGGAGAAAAGAAAGAUGAAAAAGAUCCUAAAAAAAAUAGGUCAAAACGGAAUUUAUAGUGUUUUAAUCGUUCUCUUCCGUGCAGGACCUAUCGCAGCGGUUUAAUUUUCGCUACAUUAAACAACAGGUGAAAUCUGGUGCUAUUGCAGCGGUUUCGUCCGUUGGGAAAGAUGCCAGGUACGAAUUUCUCCUUAUUUCUUGGAUUUUUUCUAUUUUUCUUCAAAUCAUCUCCUAAAAUAAAGCAAAUUAAAAUAUAUAAGAGAUAAAAAUAAGAUAACACCUUAAAAUAAACUUAUCUCAUCCUAAAUUAAAGUAAAUAAAUCCUAAUAAUAUCUAGAAAAUAAUAUAAAACAUAGAAAAAUACUAAAACUAAAUAAAAAUAUUAAAAUGCAUGAAAUAAGCCUAAAGUGUCCUAUAAUGACUGAAAUAUCCUAAAAAAUAUAUUAAAAUGUAUGCAAAUAAACUAGGAAAAUAGCCUUAAAUCUCGGGUCAUCACUACACUAAAGAUGUCCCAAGGUCCCACAUCUCCCCACUGUCAGGGACCCCUGCUGGAGUCUGGGAGCCACGUCCCACCCAACAGAAGCCCAUGCAACCCUCAAGCUACUUUGUUGAGUUCCCUACUGAUGAUGAAGAAGAGAGCGUGGAAAACCAGCGAGAGAGCCAAGCCAGUUAUUCUCCAAGCCCAACAGGUGUGGCCCUUGAAAGGCUAACCCUAAAGAGGAAUAGAGAGUCUACCCCGACCCUGCAAGUUGAUGGUGCGUGUAAGGAUCCAGAUGACCACAAAGUCCCCAGAACACUCUCUGAAGAAGGUGACUAUGAAGGAAACCCCAAAACCAAGGCUGAGGAGGCGGGCCAUGCCAUGCCCCCAAUGCAGCCAUGACAUUCUUAAGCUGGAAUUGUCGAGGAGCUACUUCUCCCUCGACAAUCAGAGAACUGAAGCAUCUCUGUAAAUAUUUCUCUCCCUCCCUCAUCUUCCUCAUGGAAACGAAAGUUCAAAUGCAAAGGAUUGAAAACCUCAAACACUCUCUGAAGAUGGACUUCAUGUUCUGUGUCCCUCCACGUGGCCUCUCUGGCGGUCUUGCAUUAUUGUGGAAGAAAGACAUGGAAGUUGAUAUCAUGUGCCACUCCCAGAAUUAUAUCCAUACCCUCCUGUAUUCAAAGGAGGAUGGCCAAUCUUGGAGCAAUACGUUCUUUUAUGGGAACCCUGACUUCACCGUUAGAAAAGACCAAUGGGAUGUUCUCAGGUGCCUGCAAACAAACUCUAACAGACCAUGGUGUUGCCUAGGAGACUUCAAUGAAGUCCUACACCCUUAUGAGAAACAAGGGUUGCGUCCUGCCCACCCCAACUGCAUGCUUCUUAUGAGGGACUUCCUCCAUGACACUGGCCUCAUGGACAUUGAGCUCUCCGGUUGCAAAUUCACGUGGCAAGGGGGUACUAGAGAUAAUGUCACUAUUAGGGAGAAAAUCGACAGGGUAACAACCAACUAGGAAUGGAGGAGGAUGUUCCCUCAUGCCCAAUUCCAGGCUCGUCCCCCAGUCUCCUUUGAUCACAUCCCGAUUAUAGUUAUCCCUAAACCUAAAAACCACUGUCCCGUCCCCUUCAAGUAUGAAGCUUUCUGGGGAGACCACUCUGAAUGUCCUAAUAUUGUCAAAGAUAACUGGAGACCAGAGAGUAACUUUGAUGUUGGUUGGGGAUCUAUCGAGCAAGGGAUCAAGAGAAGUAGCAAAAACCUACAAAAGUGGAGCAGGGCUACGUUUAAGAGAGCUGAUAGGGAGAUUUCUAGUCUCAAAAGAAAACUUGAGACCCUCCUAAACAAGACUCCCACUGUCCAGGUCAAUGAAGACAUAAAGAAAACCAAGGCUAGCAUUGCUGAACUAUGGCGGCAAGAAGAAAAAUAUUGGGGACAACGCUCCCGCCUUAAGUGGCUCAAAUGGGGAGAUAGAAACUCAAAGUUUUUCCAUGCCACGACUAUUCAAAAGCGAGGACGGAAUCACAUUACCAAAAUCAUGGAUGAGUCAGGCACAUGGAAGGAAGGUACUACUGAAAUUCUUGUUGCCAUUGAGGAUUUUUAUUCUAACCUUUUCAGGUCCUCGGGCCAGAGGGAGAUUUUAAAAGGAACCUCAGCUAUCCCUAGGAAAGUUCUCCAGUCGUGCAAUGAGAGCAUUGAGGAACCUGUUACGGAGGCUGAAGUAAAGCUGGCUAUAGACAGCCUUGGUGAGCUCAAGGCUCCAGGACCUGAUGGUCUUAACGGCCUAUUUUACAAGCAACAUUGGUCUACCAUAAAAGAUGAUGUUUGUACAGCAGUCAAGAGCUUCUUCCAGGAGGGCACCCUACCAAGCUUCAAAAGUGGAUAAACCUGAGAAAAUUGGCCAGCUCCGGCCGAUAAGUUGUUGUAACUUCCUAUACAAGGUCAUGGUCACCAAGCUCAAGCCCUACAUGAAUGAUAUGGUUACUCAAGCUCAAAGUGCCUUCAUUGGUGGACGACAAAUCCAAGACAACAUCCUUGUAGCCCAAGAAGUCUUCCACUUUCUGAAAAAAUCUAGAAGAGGACAAGAGGAAUACAUGGCCCUCAAACUAGACAUGAACAAGGCCUAUGACCGUUUAGAGUGGGACUUCAUCCAACCUUGCCUAGAAACUUUUGGCUGUAGCCCAACAUGGGUGGAUAUAAUUAUGACUUGUGUGCGAGGAGCCUCUUACAAAUUCAAGGUCAAUGGUGAAACGAGUAAAAGAAUCUUUCCACAAAGAGGUUUGAGGCAAGGGGAUCCCCUCUCACCUUACUUACUUGUCCUUGCUUCAGAGGCAAUGUCUUAUAUGCUCACCAAAGCCCAAGAGGAAGGCAAUCUCAAGGGCAUUAGAAUGGCCCUUAGCUGCCCCCCCCAUUACCCAUCUCUUCUUUGCUAAUGACUCACUAUUCUUUGCCCAAGCUACCAAGGAGGAGGCCUACCACCUCAUCACCAUCCUCAAUGACUACACCACUGCCUCGGGUCAAAAGUUAAGUGUGGAGAAAUCCGGCAUUGUCUUCAGCAAGUCCACAUCCUCAACAACAAGAAGAGAAAUCCCAGCCAUCUUAAAGAUGAAUGAAUGGGAGGCUCCGGGCAAAUACCUUGGUCUUCCGGCUGAGUGGGGAAGGUCAAAGAGCAACACACUCAAUUGGCUUAAACUUAGAGUCCUAGAAAAGAUUGAUGGGUGGAAGGAAAAACUUCUCAACCAAGCGGGGAAAGAAGUGUUAAUCAAAGCGGUUAUCCAAGCAAUCUCCUCCUAUGCCAUGUCCAUCGUUCGCUUUCCUAAAGGCUUUUGCAAAUCACUUUGCUCAAGUAUAGCUAGAUUUUGGUGGAGGAACACCGGUCGGGAGAGAGGUAUUCAUUGGAAGGAUUGGAGCUCUAUAUCCAAAGCUAAGAGUAGAGGUGGGCUCGGGUUCAAGGACUUCUCUUUGAUGAACCUAGCCUUGCUAGCCAAGCAAGCAUGGAGAGCUUAUAAUAACCCUGAAUCUCUAUGGGUCAAGGUCCUCAAGGGACUCUACUUCCCGAGGACUGAUCUAAUGAAGGCUACUAAGGGGAGAGGUACUUCCUGGGGUUGGCAAAGCCUAGUGCAAGGUAAAGAUUUUCUAAGAAAAGCUGGCUUGUGGUUAAUUGGAGAUGGCAAUACAGUAGAGGUAUGGAACGAUAAAUGGAUCUCGACUUCUCCUCUACAAAUCCCUGAAAAUGCUCAACCAGAUUUGCUUGUUAGUGCCCUCUUCCAACCACAACAGCAACAAUGGGACACCCAGAAGCUGCUCUCUACCCUCCCAAGGGAAGCUGCGCUUAAAGCCUUACAAAUCCCCCUUGGUUUUGAACCUGAGGAAGACCUCCUCUGUUGGCCCUAUUCUAAGGAUGGUAACUAUACGGUGAAGACAGGCUACCAAGUGGCGGUUUCCAUCAACUCAUUAGAACCAUCUACAUCUAAUCCUAGCCACCCCAAUGAGGAAGAGCCGAUUUGGAAGCUUAUCUGGAGCCUUUAUGUCCCACAGAAAAUCAAGAUGUUUUUGUGGAAGGCUUGCAAUGGUGCCCUCCCGGUCAAAGCAACUAUCUUUCGUCGCCAUAUCACUCCUGAUGCAACGUGCCCUCAUUGCAACAGUGCGACUGAAGACAUCCCUCAUGCCCUCCUUGGUUGCGAAUGGACAGGUGAGGUCUGGCACCAUUCUCAACUUCAAUUUGACUCCUCACAGGCAGCGGCAAUGCCCUUGAAGGACUAGAUUCUUUUUAUGGACUCUCUUCUCUCCAACCAGAAUGAAACUCACCAUGAGAAUCUUGCUAUAAUGGCCCAUUACCUUUGGGGAAUUUGGAAAGAAAGAAACGAUUGUCAUUUCCAAGGAAGGGCUACCCAGCCUUUAGCCACUGCCGUGAAGAUCAAGGCAAGGUUGGUCCCGAUAGAUGAUCCCACAGUACAGAGUAGAGCUGCAACCCUGUCCACUAAGCGCAUUUACUCAGCUCCUUAGACCCUCCCUCCCCCAGGAACUCUGAAGCUUAACACCGACGCUACCUUUUUCCUGGUCAAUAACAGAGGCUCCAUUGCAGUUAUAUGCAAGGAUGAAAAAGGUGCAACUAUUCUCUCCCACUCCAGACCAAUUCUUGCUCCUAACCCGUUUGUGGCUGAAGCUAUUGCCAUGCGUGAAGCCUUGCUACUUGCUAUGAACUUGGAGUUCCCCAAAAUCUAUGUCUUCUCGGAUAACCUUAAGUUGGUAUCCCUGAUUAGAGAGAGGAAACGAGAAUGGAUUGUGGACCCCCUCCUGAGAGAUAUACAAAGACUUAGAUCAACUUUCAGAACAUGUGGUUUCUUUUGGACCCCAAGACAAAACAACCAACAAGCUCACUCUCACGCAAGACAUGCUUUCUACCAAGGAACGGGUGCUGGCCUUAGACAGAGUUAGGGAAUGAACUGAUCUUUAGUUUCCCACUUUCAGUGGUGUUAGCUUCGGGCCCCUUAGAUUUGCUGCUUUUGUUCUUAGGUUUGUAUUCCUAUUUGUAUGAUUGGGCCCAGCUACUAUUGUAUCCUCUAGCAGACUUUGCUGCGCUUUUAUGGAAUCAUGAUCCAUUGUCCAAAAAAAAAAACCAAAUUAUUAACUGAGCAUACUUGUACAACUCCAAAUUUGAAUAAAUGUUUGGUAGAUUAAGCUUGGGUCUCUGCUAUGGAGUAAAGCAUGAGUUCAUGAACAUAAUCGUUUAUAGAAAUACAUCAAAUUGGGUACAAACACAAAUCUCACAACAAAUUAUGAAAUAUAAGAGAUAUAGUAUUUACAACUAAUUAUAGCAAAAUUACUUACGACGACGACACAUAACAGUGUGAAUUAUGAAAACUAGUGUUGAAUUCAAUCACAGACAAAGCCGCAAUCAAAUUCAUUAAUACAGCAAAAAAUUAAUCAAAUUGAAAAGUAAGGGGAAAAAUACCAGAAGAUAAACUCAAGCUAGAGGUGGAGGAGGAACAAGAGGGCGAAGAGGAAGAUGGAGCCCCUGAAACGCAUUUGAAGACCAAUGGGGCGCGGAGCAGAGCAACCAUGGUGAUGGCAGAGGCGAGCAUGAUUGAGUAGAGGAUUGUUUGUUGUUGAAAUUAAUAGUCGGAGAGGGAGAAAAGAGAGGACUUUAGCGAGUGCAAAAGCUGGAGGAUGUGUGAUUUCCACCCACGAGGACACCCAUUGAUUUUUGGAAGGUUAACCAGACCCUUCUUGGAGCUCUCUUCUUCUGUGAUGGCUCGUACUAGCAGAUUGGAGUGUGGGAGCGGUGGCGUGAUUUUGGAUUUGCAGAAUGAGAGGGGAUGAGGGAGUGAUGGUGCUAGAUAGAAGAAACUAGCCAUAAGUGUGGGUUUUUGGAAGAAAAAUGUUGUAUGUGGGCCAGGAUGAAAAUUUCAGUCCAUGGAUGUGGUGUUUGGAUGAAGAUGAAGGGAAUGAAAUUGUGAUAAUUAUCUGGGUUCGUGUUUAUUGUAUUUUGGUGAAUAAACAUGAUAUAAAUAAAUCUUAGUUCAUGACAUUAUCACUUGUGUAUAGCUCAACUCGUAAAGUGUGUGUUUUGCUAGUACAAGGUCCUAGGUUAAAAUCUGGCAAAAUAUGCUUUUUAGCCUAAAUGAAAUAAAAUAAAAUUGACAAAUUAGUCUAACAUGAAAACAAAUGAGAUAUAUACUAGAAGUUGUUAAUUUUUAUUCAUCACCCUUUAUUUAAUUAAACCCAUGAUAGACAACUUAUUGAUAGACAACUUAUUUAUUCCAUGGAUAACAUGAUAAUAGACCGCCCCAUGUCUUGAAACAGGGUCCUUUUUGCUUUAUAAACCAAACACAAUUAUCACACCUUCCAAUAUCCCUUGUUUCUAUGUAUAUAUCGUACCAUUUAGUGACAUUUUGCCACUGAAAUGUACCAUAGAAUUGUGUAGUGACAAAAAUACCAGGUCCAAAACUCCAAUCAAAUGAGUCACCAGGAUGCAGAAUGUGCCUUCCAAGAUCAUCAUCUGCAGACUUGAUGUGAAUGGUUAGGUCCAAAUUCCCCUCCAAAGAAUUUACGACCGUCACAUGUGUUUUGGCAGAUGUCAACAAGAACAUGCAUAGUAAAAGAAAACAUUUUAUAAAUAGAUCCAUUUCACUUUGAUGAACCAUUUGUCGGUCAUUGUAUAGGGAAUUUUGUUAUAUAUAGACCAUUCCCUCAACCAUUUGCCUGAGUUUUACAUUAAUAUCAAUGCUUAAUAAUUAUUAGGGCCCGUUUGGUGGUUAUGAUAUGAUAUGAUAGGAUAUGAUAUGUGAGCAUGAUAGUAACAGGAUAGGAUAAGAGCAGGAUAGACUCUUAUCCUAUCCUGUGUUUGAGGUGCACAUGAUAAGGACAGAAUAUGAUAAAAAAAUGUUAUAUUUGAAUAAAAAUACAUUUAAAAAUUGAUCAUUCUAUUAAAUUUAUUUUUUUUACAUUUUCAUGAAUGAGUCUAUAUUUUAAAAUAACUAAAAUUAAUUUAAAUUUGACUAAUUAGCCUACUUUAUUUUUUUGCACAUAGCUUGUAUUUUAAAUAAAAUUAUGCUAUUAACCAAUUGGUUUUCACUUAGUUGUGACACGUGAUAAAUAAUAAAAAUUAACUAAAUUAAAAAUAUUAUUAUUUCAAAAAUACUUUAUAUUUAAAUUAUUAUUAAUUUUUAAAUAAUAGGAGUUGAAAAAUAUUAAAUUAGUCUAUUACUAUUAAUACAUCAAUAUUUGUAGUCUAUUUUACUAUUUAUGAAUAAUAAUUUUAUUUAUUUUUAUUUUAUUUAAAUUAAUAUUUUUAUAUUUAUUUAUGAAUAUUAUUAUAAAUUAUAUAAUAUUAAAAUAAUUUAAUUUGGAGUUAGGAUACUGAAAAAAAAUAUAAUUGGUAUCCUAUCUUGUUCUAUCAUAGCUCCCCCCCUCAUAAUAACUUUUACACAUGAUGGACAGGAUAGGAUAGGAGACAGGAUAGCGCUAUCCUAUCCUGUUGGUGCAACAAACAACAGAUAACAACAGCAUAUGAUUAUUAUCCUGUCAUAUCCUAUCUUGUCCUGGCUACCAAACGGACCCUUAAUGGCCAUUAUAUUAUUAUCAAUUAUCAUAUAAAUCUAUAAUUAAUUUUAAAUAUUAUUAACUUGUAGAAAAUAUUUACAUAUAUAUGAUAUGGAUUUAUAGAAAAUAUUAUUUAUUAAUUAUAAAAAAUUUACUUUAUAUAAAUAAAAUAUUUGUAUUUUAACUAUUAUCAAAUUGAACGAGGGAAAUUCAUUAAUAUUUUUCAUAUAUGUAAAUUGCAUAAUUAACCAGAAUUUGUCAUUUAAAAGUAAUAUUUUAAUUUUUUUAAAUAAUAUGUACAAUAUUAAUUCCAAUUUACGUGCACAUUAUUAUAAAAAUAUUAAAUAUACUUAAUGAUGUAACUAAAACUGGUGAAAUAAUUUUUACAUUAAUUAAGUAUUUAAUACCUAGUAAUGACCAUUAUAUUAUUAAAUUUAAUUUUAUAAUAUGUAUAAAAAAAUUAAAUAUUUAUAUAUUUAAAAUUUUAAUUGAAACAACUUGAAAAAAAAAUUGACCAUUAAUAACAAUAUUCAUUAUUUGUCGAUAUACUUUUAUAAUAUACAUUUUAUUAAUUAAUAAUUUUAAAAAAACAAUUUAUAAUAUAUAUAUAAUUAAAUAUUAUUAUCAUUCCAAAAUUUAAUUUUAAUAAAUUGUUUUUUUUAUAUUAGCAUAGUCAUCAAUCAAUCUCAAUAUAGAUAAGUAAAAUUCACUUGACCUAUACAUUAAUAAAAAUAUAAAUUAUUUAUCAAUUAAAUUUUAUAUUAUUCAUUAUAUUAAUUACUAAUUGUAAAUUUUUUAGUUUUUUAUAUUUAAAAAUUAUUAUUGUUAAAAUUUUGAUUAUUAAUCACAUCUUGAGAAAAGAAAUUAAAAAUAACAAUAAUUUUUUUGGAUAACAAAAAGCAUAUAUUGAUAGAGAGAAAAAUAACAAUGAUAAUAAUAAGGUAAAUUAAAAUGGACUAAAAUUAAGAAAAUAUUAAUUAGUUAUUGAUAACCUUUUAUAUUAUUCAUUAUAUUAAUUACUAAUUGUAAAAAAAUAAUUCAUUUUUUCCCAAGGUAUCCUCACAGCUGGCAUCUGUGAGGCUUAUCCCUUGAGACUCUGAUGAGAUCAUGUUAAGUGGGUACGCCCAGUGGCGGAUCCAGGACCCCAGGGUCAGGGGAUUCAAAUUUUUCAAAUGAGCACAUCGAUAAAAAUAUAAUUAAAACCAACUGUAAUAUGUUUAUACAUAUUAAACAUAUUACAAGAGUAGUAUUUACAAUCAAUGAAUGAAAGUUGAUUUAACAUGGCCUAGUUACAAUUGGAUACCUACACAUAAUUCAACAUAAAAACAUACUUAGGAGGAUGGGCUGCAUAAUAAUAGAAGCAGCAUGUCUAAAAUUACACUGUCCUUUGUACUUGGACAUUACAAAAUGAGGGGGGUUAAAUGUAAUAAACUACAAAUUAACCGAGGGAAUUGAUCUACUUUUCUUUUACAAUAAAUCUGAUAGAAACUAAGGUCGGGUUUCAAUUUCAAUUUCAAUGAAGCAGUUUUAUUAGUACCAUUUUGGGUCUAUAAUGGCUGCAGGUGCAACACGCAUCUGUCAAUUAAGUAAGAAAUUUAGAGGAUAAAAUCAUAAAAGAAAGGAGCAGAAAAGGAACUGCAGAGGAUUAACAAUGCACUUAUGAAGCAUAACAAACAAAAACAGGAAUCAACAAGGUGAUUGAAUUGACACAUUUUGUGAGAUAAAACUAACCAUUCACACAGAUACAAUGGCUUUGGUGUUCCCAAACUCAGCACAAGCAGCAGAUCCUAUGCAGCAUUCACAGAACCAGUGCUGAAAACUGCAAGUCACCACAAACCAGUGCAACCAAAAAGGGAUCAAAUUUAUUUAAUCUUCCAUGACUUCACAGUUCACAGUUCACAUACAUACAUUAAGAUAAGCUUGUCAAUACACAUUAUCAUAUGUUGCUUUCCUGAUGUAUUGAACAAACCACGCUCUUUUCAAACUGAAAAUGACCUUUAGCUUUACCUCAAAGUAGGUGAUGAAUUUAAAUAAUUUUUUAUUUUCCCAGUCCCACUCUUAUUUUUUCUAAGAAUCACUUUUCCACAUUAUUUUCCCUUUUAUUAUAACAUCAUACAUCUCUCUUUUUUCCUUUUUCUCCUCUUCUUUUCACUUUCUAUUUCUCUCUACCCUGCACUCCUUCCAUAUUUUAAGGGUAUGAAAGGAUCUUUAUCAAUAUAAAUAAGUGCUAAAAAGCAUAAUAUUAUAUAGGUAGCAAGACAGCAUCCAGUGAAUGAAAAUCCAAUAAAUGGAACAGUUAAGAGCUAUGUGUCUUGAGCUUACAUUUUCUUAAUCACUUCAACAAAAUUUCCUUAAUUUAGAAUCAGAACAUCCUAAUACCAUAUACAAUUGUCAUGAAUGUUUUGCUCAUCCUCAUUGUGGCAUCACUUCUAGUUUCUAAACAAACCCAAAUGCUGAGAAUCAAAUAUGAUUCAAUUCAGCUUCAUGCCUUCAUCCCUCACAUAGGACCAUAGGGGUCAGAAUAGAAAAAACAUAAUAACACUAGGCCAACUUGCUACAGGACAUGAACAUAAGAUAAAACAGAUGAAACCAAACAUAGGAAAAAUAAGCUACAAAUUAAUAAGUCACAGCAAGUUAGGAAAGAACUUACUACUUAAUACAUCAGCAAUUGCUAAAUUAAAAAUCAAACCAUUUCCCUUCACAUUCCAGGCAAUAAACUUGAACUUGAACUUGAACUUCAGAUCAAGGCAAUAAACUUCAAUAGCAGAUCAAGGCAAUAAACUACAGAUCAAGGGGUCUUCAAUUUUUGAGUUUUCAAUUUUGGGUUUUUCAAUUUUGGGGUUUUCCAAUACCUAAACCUAACUAACCUUCAACAGCAGCAGAGAUGGACGGCGUCAGUGCCGGUGGUGCCGUGGCGGUGGCCGGUAGUGCCGUGUUGGUGCGUUGUGCGGCCGGCCUGUGGUGCUGUGGUGGAUUGGUGGUGCGUUCGUGAGUGAGGUAAACGGAAGCGAGAACCAGAGCAGAAUGAGAAUGAGUGCGUGACAGAGAGAGAAAGGAGUGAGGAGUGCUGUAGUGGGGUCUGGGUGGCUGGGUGCAAUUUUAAAAUUUCAGGGGGUUCAAAACAAAAUCAUUAUAGGGGGGUAAGUAGGAAUUUUUUUUUUCAGGGGGUUCAACUGAACCCCUCAGCUCUACGUGGGUCCGCCCCUGGGUACGCCUCUUCCAAAAAAUCAUUCUCCAGACGCACCGCCAAGGAAUCAGACUAGACUAUAUAGUAAUUAAGAGGCUCAGUUAUGUACUAAUCGUGUCAGACCUUGUUGGUCAAUUUCUUAUAUUUAGAUUUAAAAUUAAAGAUUAAUAAUAUUUAACUUUUAAUGAUUAAUCACAACUUAGGAAAAAGUUUACCUUUACAUUAAUUAGAAUACAAUAAUGAUAUAUACACACCUCAUUUUUUAAACACUUCAUUUCCACAUAUUUUUGUUUAUAUCUCUUCUUUUAUCAUCUAUCACAUCUCAUACUUUCUCUCUCUUACUUUUUCUUUUCUUCUUAUCUCUCUCCUCAUUCCACCUCUUCCACCUCAAAAAAAGGUGUGUAAGUAACAUUAUUGAUUUGAAUAUUAAUUAAUAUUUAAUAAUCUUCCAUAUUUAUAACUAAUUAUAAAACUUUUUAAUUUCUCAUAUAUUAAAAUUAAAAUUAAGAUUAAUAUUAAUUCAAUUUUAAUUAUUAAUAAAAAUUAGCAAUUUCUUAAAAAUAAUAAAUUAUUUCACUUGCCCUAUAAAUAAAAAAUUAGAUAUUAAUAAUAUUUUAUAUUAUUCAUUGCAGUAAUUUCUAAUUGUUAAAAAAUUCAAUUUCUUAUAUUUAAAAUUAACUAUUAUAUUUUUUUAAUUAUUAAUCACAACUUGAGGAUUUUUCAUCGCUGAAUGAUUUGUUGAUAUUAAUAUUUUGAUACUUUUUUAUUAAUUAAUUAGUGAUUUUUCUAAUUAUCACAUAGUAAUUUUCCUAUUUAAAAAUUCGUAUUAUUCAAUAUGGUAAUAAAUGAUUUAAAUACAUUGAAAACUAAAUUAAAUAAAUUAGGUGUCACAAAAUCAAAUAUUAUGCAUAUUAUGUUAAUCAUAAAAAAAUCAAAAGAAAAAUUAUUUUAUAUGUCAAUUUAUUGGGAAAGACCUACCCACUUAAUGUAAUCUCAUGAUUCUUAGCUGUAAAAAUACCUUGAGGAACCAAUACAUAUAUCCAUAUAACCCUACAAGAAUAAAAUUGAAUUUAUUUCAAGUAUAAUGUUAACGUAUUACAUAAACAUUGCACUAUGUGAAUUAGUCAUUUUUUAUUUUUUUUAUAAUUAAUAAUUAAUUCUCCAAUUAUUUUCUUUAAAUAGUUAUUGAUAUAUAGUAAUUGUGUGUCCAAGUGCAAGUGAGUAUGUCUCUCCCAUUAAAUUCUUCUCAAUACGUACCACAUGGAGAUCAAACUCUACACUGGAUGCUUAAAAAGCUUAGCUAUCUAUUAGUUGUGUUAGACCUUGUUAAUAUAUAGAUACUAGUGUUAACAUAUAAGAUAGAAAAACCAAAGCAACCUGUUCUGUACUAGGGCAAGCUUACGUAAGAGAAAGACAAAAAGUAAACCCUAGCAGAGCACUAAAAUAGCAAAACUACCAUAAAAGGAAUAUUCUCAUUAAUGCUGAAAAAGUUGGUUUUGUACAAGUGGAUGACCUCCCCUUUUAUAGAGGGGGUGGUCAUGAUAUGGACCUUUCCUAUAUUUGGGCCUGACAACCAGGGCCCAAAUUCCUAUACAUAUAAGACAAAUCAAGGAGAAUCUUCCAGCUGGCUCGUGGGUCCCCCUAAGGGAAGACAAAGAUAUUAGCUGUGUCGAUGAUUCCCGCCGUGGUUGUCUUCACUCUUGGGCGGGCAUGAGCAUUGUGUAUGCCCCGCCCAGUCCACAGCCGUGGUUGUCUUCACUCUUGGGCGGGCAUGAGCAUUGUGUAUGCCCCGCCCAGUCCACAUGCCCCCAAGACAUGAGGUUCAAGUAACUUGAGUCAAAAUGUCUUUAAUAUGCAACUUUGUCGCCCGUUUUUAUCGUUUGCUUUGCGACGUGUCAGGAUACUACUAUUUUUCGCCACAUCUUUGUUACAUCGCCAUUUUAUUUUCGUUGUUACAUCGCCCUUUUACUUUCGCUGUUACAUCGCCAUUUUCACGCUUCGCCACCUUUGUUGCAGUUUCAAAGAUAUGUCGCCAUUAAUCAUAACCGUCAAUCACGUCUUUUCAACUGACGCACGUAUCCUUGUUUUCCGGGAUUUCGUCAUCAUUUGUUAUAAAUGCAAUUUUCAGUUGUGCGUCUCGAGGAGUAAUGUCUUUUCGCUUCCUACCUUUUCGAAUUUCAAAUCCCACAAUCCCACGAUCUUCCCCCACUCAUUCUCUCUCCUCCUUUCUCUCUAUAAAAACCCCUUUUCACUUUUCCUUUUUCACUUUCUUAAAACUUUUGUUCUGAAAACCUUUUCACCGCAGCUUUCAUUCUCUUCUUUGAACUCCGGUGAACCUUUUCUUCCUCCGGCCGUCGUCAUUGCGCGGUGCUCCCCUAUCGCCGACGUUCUCCUUUCUCAAAUCCACAGUUCUUCCCCUGGUUAGUUUUUCUCUUUCCUGAGAUUCUUCGUUUACUUCUUUUUUCUCUGACUCUGUUCAUCUUCUUUCUUCUUUUUAUGAAACUGCCUCGUAUGUCUUUACCAAACGCUAGCCUUUCUUCCCUAGAACUUUCUUCACCCUCCACGGAGGAGGAAGUUGUCACCCCCUCUAUAAUUGAAAUUCACUCCUCGCCUUCUACCCAUGAUGAUUCCGGUCCCGCCGGCUCUGUAGACUCAAUUCUCUCCUCUAAUGGAGAUUUGUCUUCACCUGAAUGGCGCUCUAACGCGCAUUUAGUUGAAGAUAAAUGUCUGUUGCGUUCUAUCUGGAGCAGCGUUGGGAGCAUUAAUUCGCUUCGAAUAUCUGCUCAAGGGUUCACGAAGAUAAAUCCCGCCACCUCGAAUAAUGAAGAUCAUCUGUUGAAUGUCCUCCCAUGUGGCGAAGAUGACUGUGUUCUGUUGCGUAAAGAACCAGCCGAUGAAUCGCCCGAUUUCUUCUUUGUUUAUGGCUAUUUCUUCUUAGACUUGAACAUCAAACUUCCUUUCUCGCCGUUUAUAUGUCACGUUCUUUCUUUUCUGAAUGUGGCGCCUUGCCAACUCCAGCCCAACGCCUGGGGUUUUCUCCGCUGCUUUGAAAUUCUUUGUGAACACUUGAGUUUCACUCCAACCUAUCCUUUGUUCUUCCUUUUCUAUAAAUCAGUCACCACUAAACCUACUUCUGUGAAAUGGGUUCCACUCUUAGCCCGUAAGAACAUGAGUCGGUUCACCGCCCUUAAAAGCCAUUACAAAGUAUGGCAGAAAAAAUACUUUAAAGUUAUGGAGUCGCCCGAAAUAAAGAACUUGUUCCGAGAUUCCGACAAUAACCCUCUCUUCCCUUUUUACUGGACAAAGAACCCUCGCCGAAAAAUAUCCAUUUCAUACGACGCCUUGGAUGAAUCUGAACAAGGCGUCGCCGAUUACCUCCGCACACUACCAGUAAUUUCUGGUCACGACUUGAUUGAGGCGUCGAAAUUCGGCACUUUAAAUCAAUUUUUUAGUAAGUUUAUAAUCUUUGCAUGUAACUUGUUUUUCUCUUUGUUCAUGUAUCUCGUCUAAUUGGUGUUUUCCAUACAGCUACGAUGGGAAAAAGCAAGGUUGACGCGAACCCAAUCAAGAUGAAGGAAUACCUCGCCCAGUCUGCUGCGGCGGCGAAGAAGAGGGCCGCCGAAACUGAGCAAAAGAAGAAGAAUGAAGGUACUUCGGGUUCUGACAACGUCAGGGACCCUAAACGUCAAAAAACCUCAGGUGCUGCUGGUGGUAAGCCUCUCCACCAAUCGACUCUCGAUCCAAAAAGUCAUCCGGCUGAGAAAAAGAAGGGACAUGACAAUGUCCCGCCCCCUCAACAAGAUUCAAGCGCGCUAAUCAACCGCCCACCAACUCCAUUUAACCAAGCUGGCCCUAGCUCAGCCAUUGGUGGCGAGGCUCCUCCCCCCUUGCUGAACUUGUCGGAUCCUCACUUCAAUGGGCUGGAAUUCAUGACCCGUACUUUUGACAACCGGAUUCACAAGGACAUUUCCGGUCAAGGCCCCCCCAACAUUGCUUCCGUGGCGAUCCAUCACGCGCUUUCUGCCGCCAGUACUGUGGCGGGAAUGGCUCAGUGCGUGAAGGAGUUGAUAUCGGCCAAGAACCGUUAUGAAAAGAAGGCGGCUGAUUAUAAGACUGCAUAUGAGCGAGCGAAGGCCGAUGCUGAAACCGCCAACAAGAAGCUGAAGGUCGUCGAGGAGAAGUGUGCUAAGUUAGCUGAUGACUUGGCUGCUUCUGACUUGCUCCUUCAGAAGACCAAGUCCCUAAAGGAAACUAUCAACGACAAACACACUGCUGUUCAGGCCAAGUGUCAAAAACUGGAAAAGAAGUACGAACGCCUAAGUGCUUCCAUCUUGGGGCGUGCUUCUCUCCAGUUUGCUCAAGGCUUUCUGGCGGCCAAAGAGCAAAUUAGUGUGGUUGAGCCGGGCUUUGAUCUUUCCCGUAUUGGGUGGCUGAAGGAGAUCAAGGAUGGUCAAGUAGUUGGUGAUGAUGACAUUAGCCUCGACCUCCUUCCCCAAUUCGAUGAUGAAAGUGAGCCUGAAGAAGAUGGCGAGGAUGGGAAUGAGCAGCACAAGAACGAGGAUCACGAGAAGGAAGACCCUCAAGCUGGGACAAGCCAGGGCAACAACGCCAACAAUGAGAAUCUGGCUUGAAUUUGUAAUUUGUUUUUAUUUUGUUGAGUCAUCUUUUAUCUUUGGGGCCUUGCCCCUUUUGUCUUUUUUCAUUCCAAAUUAUGUACGGGCGUCGCCCCUUUUUCUUGCUUUUAAUGAAGACCGUUUUAAAUUUUGUUGUUACCUUGAGUUGUUGUCAAUUAUUGUUGUUGCUUAGGUCUAUAUACCUUAGUCGAUUUUUCGACGAGGCUUGGUUUCUAGUGGCCACUAGAAUUGCCAAGGCUUGCAAUAUUGGAUGGCGAUACUUUCUUAUUCCGAAAGGUUUAUUCGCAGUAUUAUAUACCUUGAUACGAUUUACUUUGCAUAAACUCGUAAUAUAAAUUAAAAAGUAACUUCUGUUGAAAUAAUCUUCAUUUAUUUUUCAUACUCAUACAUGGGAAUGAUUGUCCCUUCAUUCUUUAUACAUGCCGCCUCAUUAAAAACCUCUACAAAGAAAGGAAAAAAGAGUGCGGCUUCAUUCACCUUUGUUGUUUCUUUUAACUAAAAUACUGCUUUAGAUGAGAGGCGUUCCAUGUUCGUGGAACCUUUUGACCGCUUAGUUGUUCCAACUUAUAAGCUCCUCCCCCAACAUCGCCUAUAAUCCUGUAAGGCCCACCCCAAUUGGGCGAAAGCUUGUUGUGCUUAUCAGGUAUUGUGUUUUUUCGGAGCACCAAAUCUCCCACCCUCAUUUUUCUUGGCACGACUUUUGUUGAGAAUUUUCUUGCGACCUUCACUUUCCCCGCCUCGUUUCUUAUGUGUGCCUCCCGUUGCUCUUCUGGCAACAUAAUCAGAUUUGCUAUCAGAUUUUCCCCGUUGUCAUUCUCAUUAAACCGAGCCACUCGCCAACUUUGGUUUUCUAUUUCCACUGGGAGCAUGGCGUCAGUUCCAUAAGUUAAACGAUACGGGGUUUCCUUUGUGCUUGACUGUUCCGUGGUGUUGUAUGCCCAAAGAACGCCUGGUAGUUCCUCCGCCCAAAGCCCUUUUGCUUCAUCCAGUUUCUUUUUUAAACCUUUCAGGAUAACCUUGUUAGCCGACUCAGCCUGCCCAUUGGUUUGUGGAUGUUCUACAGAGGCAAAUCGCAUCUCGAUUCCCAUUUCUGCACAGAAUUCCCGGGUAACACUACUUGUGAAUUGGGUUCCAUUAUCCAUUACUAAUGCCAUGGGGACCCCAAAUCUACAAACGAUCCUUCGCCACAGGAAGUUCCUGACCUUGGCGGCUGUGAUAGUCGCCACUGCCUCGGCUUCUAUCCACUUAGUGAAGUAAUCAACCGCCAUGAUGAUGUACUUCAUUUGUGCCUUCGCUACAGGGAAUGGUCCUAAGAUAUCAGUCCCCCACAUGGCAAACGGCCAAGGCGCCAUCAUAGUUGUUAAUUCUUCUGGUGGAGCCUUGUGUAAGUCAGAAAAGACUUGACAUUUUUCACAUUUCUUAACAUACUCCAAACAAUCCUUCUUCAUUGUUGGCCAAUAGAAUCCUGCUCUUAUCACUUUUAUUGCCAAGGAUCGCCCGCCGAUAUGACUAGAACACACACCUUUGUGGACUUCCGCCAUUAUUCCGAGGGCGUCCUUGGUAUCGACACAUUUGAGCAUAGGAGACAUGAUUCCCCGUCGAUACAACUCACCAUCCACCAGUGUGUAGAAACUGGCUUCCCUGCGUUUUGUUCUCGUGUUCAAAUCAUCCUCCUUUGGUGGGUUCUCUAAGAAGGUCUUAAUCGAUUCCAUCCAAGGUAGCUCGCCCUCACUGACUGAUUUUACAGCUUUCAACUUUAUUUCUACCAAAUCAAUGCUCGGGCGAGGCAGGGUUUCUUGAAUGACUGUUUGGUAGUUGCCCAAUCUCCCUGUGCUUGCCAACUUCGCCAACACAUCAGCCCUCUCAUUUUGUCCCCUCGGGACAUGUUCUAUUUUGAUUUCUUUGACCUCCAUCAUCAAUCUGCGCACCACUUCCAAAUAUUUGGACAGUUGCGGAUCCUUCACCUGGUACUCGCCUUUCACUUGUUUAACCACUAACUGCGAAUCUCCUUUGAUAAAUAACUUCUGGACUCCCAACUCAAUGGCCAACCUUAAGCCGGCAAUCAGAGCCUCAUACUCAGAUUGAUUAUUGCUCGCCUUGAACUCGAACUUGAGAGACUGUUCAAUGAUCAUUUUAUCUGGACUUUCAAUUGUUAUUCCCGCCCCACUUCCAGUGUUAUUAGAGGACCCAUCCACAGACAGGACCCAUUCUCCUUGAGUCUUCUCACCUUCAGUGGGUGUUAAUUCCGCCACGAAGUCAAUUAAACUUUGGACAGUGACUUGGCCCCUUGGCUCAUAUUGUAUGUCAUAUUCUGAUAACUCAACUGACCAGCUAACCAAUCGCCCUGAUAAAUCAGGCUUCUGAAGUACUUGCCUUAAGGGAACAUCAGUUUUGACUUUGACUUGGAAACUUUGGAAGUAAGGCCUGAGGCGCCUUGCAGUUUUCAGAAUCGCCAAAGCCGCCUUUUCAAUUUUUUGGUACCGCAACUCUGCCCCCUGUAAAGUAUGGCUCACGAAAUAUAUAACUUUCUGCUUUUUUCCUUCUUCCUGAAGCAACACCGUACUUACUGCCUUGUCAGUAACCGCUAAAUAGAGCACUAAUGGAACGCCUGGUGUUGGCUUGGAGAGUACCGGUAAUGUGGCCAAUGUUUCUUUCAAUUUGGUAAAAGCUUGUUCGCAUUCCUCUGUCCACUGAAACUUUGAAUUCUUUUUUAAACAUGUGAAGAACGGGGCCGCUUUGUCACCCGCCAUUGGCAAGAAACGUGACAAGGCGGCCAUUCGCCCUGUCAAACGCUGAACCUCCUUUACACUUGUUGGGCUUUUCAUCUCCAAGAUCGCCCUUCCCUUAUCAGGGUUCACUUCUAUUCCUCUUGAUGUUAACAUAAAUCCCAAGAACUUUCCUCCCUGGAUCCCAAAAGAACACUUCUCAGGAUUCAACUUCAUUUGAUAUGUUCUUAACUGAUCAAACGCUUCUUUGAGGUCGCCACCAUGAUCACUAGCCCUGGCGGACUUUACAAUCAUGUCGUCCACAUACACCUCCAUAUUCCUGCCUACUUGUUUUGAAAAAAUUUUGUCCAUGAGCCGUUGGUACGUAGCUCCUGCAUUCUUCAAACCAAAAGGCAUUGUCUUGUAACAAUAGUUCGCCUGAUUGGUCAUAAAUGCUGUACUUUCCUCAUCCGAGGGAUGCAUCAUAAUCUGAUUAUAGCCCGAAUAAGCGUCCAUGAGACUUAAAAGUUCAUUCCCUGAAGCUCCAUCCACAAGCUUAUCAACAUUGGGAAGUGGGUACGAAUCUUUGGGACACACUUUGUUCAAGCUUGUGUAGUCCGUGCACAUUCGCCAUUUCCCAUUGGCCUUCUUGACCAUCACAACAUUGGCGAGCCACGUUGGGUACUGUACCUCACGGAUGAAGCGGGCCUUGAUUAAUUUUUCAGUCUCUAAUUGUACAGCCUUGUGCUUUUCUUCACUCAUUCUUCGCCUUGGUUGGAUGACUGGGGUCGCCCCUGGUCGUAUGGCUAGUUUGUGAGUGAUCACCUUGGGGUCAAUCCCUGGUACAUCAUUGAUGGUCCAUGCGAAGAGAUCUAGAUUAUCACCCAGAAGGGUGAUUAGUCUGUCCUCUUGUUCUGUUGUCAAACCACUGCCAAUCUUUAGAAACUUGUCCUUGACUUGCACCUGCUUGGUUUCUUCCAGAGGUUGUGGGCGAAAAUCAUCAGCCUCGUCCCUUGGGUCCAAGCUAAAUCCUUCUUGUGGGAAGAUUUCUGUAAUUCGAUGGCUCUCCCUGGCGGCCUUUCGCCCAUAGAGCGCCACGCUUCUUAAAUAGCAUUCCCUUGCUGCAUUCUGGUCUACACGCAAUAUCCCGACCUUCCCGUUGCAGGCGGGAUAUUUAACAGUUAAAUGAGCAGUUGAGAUGACCGCGCAGACCUUGUUGAGGGUGUCUCGCCCCAAGAGUACAUUGUAAUUGGCUCUACACGCCAAUACUAAGUACUUUACUUGAAAUUUCUUGACGAACUCUCAUUCUCCAAAGGCGGUCGGAAUUUCCACGUAUCCCCGCACACUGACACGGUCCCCUGUGAAUCCCACCAAGGUUCCCUUGUAUGGUUUCAAAUCUGAUUCCUUUAGUCCCAGGCGAUCGAAGGCGUCUCCAUAGAUGAUAUCCGCCGAAGAUCCCUGGUCUAAGAAUACUUUCUUUGUCACAUAAUUGUUAACCCUAAUUGUUACCACAAUUGGAUCGUUGUCAUGGGGAAUCACAUGCGCGAAAUCCUGAGGGGUAAAUAUAAUAGGGGAAUGAUUCACCCAACACUCGCCUUCGUUCGACUCCUGUACUGAAUGUACUGUCGCCACGUAGCGUUUUCUAGCCCUACUUGAAAUUGCACCCCCGCCAAAUCCUCCUGCAAUAGAUGAGCAUUCCCCAACAGGAUCGCCCAACUCUUCAACUAUCUCUUUACCUUUACCUUUGUCCUCCUGAGUGAUCUUAGCUACCUCCGGCGUUGCUGUGUCUUUAACAAAGUUCGCCAAAUGGCCAGCUUUAAUCAAACGAUCAAUUUCCCGCCUUAAAUUCCAACAAUUAUCUGUCGUAUGCCCCAACGCCUUGUGGUACUCGCACCACCUAUUGGUGUCCACGUUAGCUGGCGGCCGCCGUGGGGGUGGUGGGUACUGCACAACGUUGGUCUGCCCAACUGCCCUUAAAAUGGUACUUAAGGGUGCAUUCAACUUAGUAAGUGGGACUGGCGUUGGCGAAGCACCAGGCUGACCAGCUGUGGCAGCAGUGGGACCUUGUGAAUUUCUGUGUCAUGUAUUUUGAAAGCCAGGUUUAGAGUUUUGGUAUGGUCCCGGUCUUGGUACACGGGGGGUUUGCGCUACCCUGGUUUCCUUCCCCGCCUUGGAUUUGUCCUGUGAAACACCGCUAGAUUGAGACUGCUUGCGUCCUUCCUCUCUUUCUUGUUUCUUCUGAUCAUCUUGCUCGAUCAAUAUGAACUCUUGAACACGAGCGCGAAGAUCCAUCAUAUCCUUCGCCGGUCGCCUUGUUAAGUCUCUAUUCAAAUCUCCCGCCCGAAGGCCAUUUUUGAAUGACGCCAAACAGACAUCUGGAUUUUCCUCCUCCAACUGCACCGCCAUCUUGCUGAAGCGUGCCAUGUAGGUUUUUAAUUUCUCGCCUGGUUGCUGAUGUAUGCUGAUAAGAUCAAACAUUGUUGCUUUUGUGGUUUUAUUGGCGGAAAAUUGAGUCAGAAACUUAGUGGACAGAUCAGUGAAAUUAUCAAUGGAGAAGGGCGGUUGUCGAAUGAACCACUGCAUCGCCAUGCCUUUGAACGUGGAAGGCAAUAAUCGACAUUUUACCGCAUCCGUCGCCCCGCCGAUCACCAUUUUGGUAUUGAAAUAUCUAAGGUGCUCCAUAGGAUCAGAUUCGCCCGAAAAGGCGUCUAAUGCCAUGGUUUGCAGGUGCUUUGGAAUGUCCACCCUAGUGAUGGCUGGAACAAAAGGUUGAAAUUCAACUACAUCCUCCGCCUCCAGGCGUUGUUCUUGCUUAAAAUCCUGCCGCUGAGUGAGAUACUCAACUUGGGCUUGCAACUGCUCGUUUUGGGACUGCACCUUCUGUAAGGUAUCUAACAUUUGUUGCAAAGCCGCAGGCGUGAUACCUGUCACUGCCUCUUGCGCUCUCCGUGGAGCAGUGGUUUUAAGAUCUUCCAAGUUCACAUAUUCAGGCGGCGUUGAAUGCCGCCGAACACCUGGAUCUGAUUUAGCGAUCAGAUCUGAAGGUCUUCCCGGAGCUGCAUUCACCAAUGACGCUGGCGACGGCGCCACUGAGUGGACCCCCUCCGAGGAAGCUUCCUGCUCUUGCUCGUCCAGUACGGGACUGUUGUUGUUUCGUCCGCCGCCGCGACCGCUGUGUCGACCACCACCGCGCCGGCGAUGAUCGCGUCGACCCACGCCGCAUGAACGAGUCUCCAUGGCUCGCAAUUCCUCCUUCUGUCACCGGAAGAGCUAAGUCAGAGCCACAGACGGCGCCAAUGUUCUGUACUAGGGCAAGCUUACGUAAGAGAAAGACAAAAAGUAAACCCUAGCAGAGCACUAAAAUAGCAAAACUACCAUAAAAGGAAUAUUCUCAUUAAUGCUGAAAAAGUUGGUUUUGUACAAGUGGAUGACCUCCCCUUUUAUAGAGGGGGUGGUCAUGAUAUGGACCUUUCCUAUAUUUGGGCCUGACAACCAGGGCCCAAAUUCCUAUACAUAUAAGACAAAUCAAGGAGAAUCUUCCAGCUGGCUCGUGGGUCCCCCUAAGGGAAGGCAAAGAUAUUAGCUGUGUCGAUGAUUCCCGCCGUGGUUGUCUUCACUCUUGGGCGGGCAUGAGCAUUGUGUAUGCCCCGCCCAGUCCACAGCCGUGGUUGUCUUCACUCUUGGGCGGGCAUGAGCAUUGUGUAUGCCCCGCCCAGUCCACAACCAAAAAGAGAGAAACCAAUUAAUAAUCGCCAAAGGCAAAAACUAACGUAGAAGAAUUGAAAUAUUUAAAGAGAAACGGAGGAAGCAAAUUUUGAAAUUCCUACAUUAGCACAGCUUAGGUUGGUUGAAAUAACGUAGAAAAAUUACUUAACUAUAGUUAAUAGAAAAACAGUUCCCCAUUAGAUAUCGAACCCUCUAACUCCAAGAUUCAAAAAUGGACUUUCCGCUCUGACGCAGUAAUAAUUAAUAAUAUAAUUUAUAUGAUUGUAAAUAAAGUAUGUCAUUAAAAUACCAUGUCUUUGUAAUUAACAUUACAUUAUCUUAAUCAUAAUUAUAUUUCUCAGACUUUUUAAGCAUUCUAAGUAAAGAUAUAGUUUCACUAAUAUUAGAUUCUCCGGUACUCCCCUCACUAGGAGAAUCUAACGGGGAAUCAUGACAUUAUCUCAUGAAUGAAAAUAGGAGCAUAUUGAGAGUGUAAUGGUCUAGACUUAAGAGCUAUGAUUCGUUCACCUUUAUUUUAUGUUACACUUCACUUCCACGUUCAUUUUCUAUAUGAUAUAUAUCACGAAUCAUAUCUCAUGUUUUUUUUCUUUUUUCUUUCUAUUUUUAUUUUCUCAAUUCCAUUUCAAUUUUAAUGAAGUGUAAAUGAAACUUGGACUAAUAUAGGUGUACCGUUAGAGACUUUGGACUGGAUGAUUAGGUCCCUACCGGAAGGCCAGGCUGCCCUCUUGGCGCUGAUCGGGACAAAUGAAGUCUGGGCCUUACGUGCUAGAAAUCUGAAGUGAAGGCACACUCCACUACGAAGACAUCCAACCGUCAAUGAGAAAGCAAGUCCACCGCUGAUCACGCGCACAGUCAAGGGUCAAGACCUCUGCUGACCAACACAGGCUGACAUCAAGUCAGCCGACCAUGUGAUAAAGUGCUUCCCUGCUGGACGGGAUUGGUCCGCAAGUCAACCGACACUGUAAUGAUUACGCUCCAUUAACGGAUAUGAUUGGUACACACAGGUCAACCAUGUAAUAAAUGUUUCAGUUAGGGUUUGGAGGUCGACCUGUUAUAAAAGAGAGACCUCCGCCCCUCUAUGUAACUCAUAUUCUCUACAUUGAAAUAACACUCCAUACAUUUUUCUUAGUCUUUUAUGCUUCUGAUCCCUUUGGAAACCCUUAUCGGAACGGUGGGGGCCUCAGUAAAACUUUUCCCGAGUCCUCAAGGUACAUUGAACUUCUUCUCAACCGUGACGAGCAUGGUAGAGACUAGAUCUCACGUCAACAGCUCAAAUGGCCCGACUCCUCAAGGUACAUUGAACUUCUUCUCAACCGUGACGAGCAUGGUAGAGACCAUAUCUCAUGUCAACGGCUCAAAUUGCCCGACUCCACAAACGAAGGAGACCAUGAACGCGUUGAUUUCCCAGAUGCAGCAGUAGCACUAGGCGAUGCAAGCCCAGAUGGCUGGAAUGGAAGAGCUCCGACAACAGAACCAGAACAUGUAGGCAUGACUUGCAGGGGUGGACGAGCUUCGUCAACAAAACCAAACCCUACAAGCUCAGGUAUGGGAUCCCACAAGGAAUCACAGGAGGGAUGUGGAUCUUACCCAGUUGGCACCAGAGCUUCAGUCCUUCUCGGAUGCCAUAACCGUCGUCGAGAUUCCGGAAAGCUUAAGGACCUUGGUUCUUGACUCCUACAAUGGUACAACAGACCUUAAGGAGCACCUCGUUGUUUUCAAUACAUAGAUAUUGAUAAACGGUGCAACCCUGACAACUGAAGUGCAAGCUAUUUCCGGGAACCCUAAAGAAGAGGGCCCUGACAUGGUUCUCCAGCCUUCCACCCAGAUCUGUAGUCACGUUCAGUGACUUUUCCUAACGUUUCCUAUCACAGUUCUCUGCCAAGCAGGCCGACCAGAUCACCUCAGCCAGCCUUUUCAACAUCCGUCAAAAGUCAGGUGAAACGUUGAAAAAUUACUUGUUUAGGUUCACUAACGUCUUCAUGCAGGCUAGAAACAAAGAUCUAGCAGUAUGUACCGAGGCAUUUGAAAAUGGUUUGUCAGCGGGUCCUUUCAACGAGGACCUGUCCAUUUAUCAUGCGCAGUCGUUGGAUGAAAUUCGUAGAAGGGCAGCACCGUUUAUCAUACAAGAAGAGAGCAACCGCUUGAAAGUAGAUCCGGAUAAGGAGGAAAGACCGCAUCAUCAGACCAACCAACCCAAACGGACAUAUCCCCUUACCAAUCGAGGGAACCUUCGACAAGGCAAUCAGGGUCAAGACCAAACUAGUCCGGGCCGACACAACACCAAAAGCGUGAGGAGCAAUGUCUGGACAAGACAGAAGGACUAAGAGUUCACUCCCUUGAAAGUUCCUCGCGGGCAAACCCGGAAGGAGGUAACUCGUUCGCAGCCGAAUUCGUUCAAAUUUCCCUUUCGUACUAAUUCCUAGAGAAAUGCAGACAAGCCCUACCCGUGGUGCGAGUUUCAUUGGAGCUCCAGUCAUGACUCUGACAACCAUGCUAACCUGCGCAGUUAGGUUGUGCUAUAUCCCGCUCUUGGAAUGCCAACAACCUGAAGUUCUACUACAUCUAGUGCUCUAUGCUUUAAAACGCCCUAAGUUUUUGUUGUUUCAGUUUUUCUAUAUUUGACGUUUGUUUCUUGUUGAAUAAAAGUAUAGAGUAAUCUUUUCUCUUCCGUAGGGGAAUAGUUUUUCAUGAGGCCCAAAAACCGUAAAUAUGUGUGUGUUCUACUUCUCUAAAAGCACACCACUUGGUUACUCGACCAAGUGCGUCGUUUCUCCGCCAACUCCAUGUUUGGCGUCGAGGUCACACCACUUGGUUACUCGACCAAGUGCGUCGUUUCUCCACCAACUCCAUGUUUGGUGUCGAGGUUCUACCGCUUGGUUACUCGACCAAAUGUGUCGCUUCUCCGCCAACUCGAUGUUUGGCGUCGAGGUCACACCACUUGGUUACUCGACCAAGUGCGUCGCUUCUCCGCCAACUCCAUGUUUGGCGUCGAGGUCACAUCACUUGGUUACUCGAUCAAGUGUGUCACUUCUCUGCCGAAAUCACAUCACCCGACUACUCAACUAAGCAUGUCGCGCACACUAGGUUGGGUAACCAAGCCCACCACGCUGUUGCCAACUCGAAGGCACAAGCUGAGAUCUCAACACUUGCUUAAUUAAAAGCUCCAAAUAAAUAAAUGAAGACAAAUUAUAAGCAUGAAAACGGUGAGGAUGGGGAAACGAGGAACAUACGAAGUUAGUUUCAUUACAAACAGACACCCAACAAAGCAUCCAAUCAAAAUAGGGUGUCCAGCCAACACAAGCAGUCAAAUAAGUGAUGGCUCCCAACAGAGCAAAAGGAAAGGGAAAAAGAGGAAAAAGAGGAGAGAGAAUACCAACUAAGGAAGGAAGAGAUGAAGCACAUGAAUUAGGAGAGACAAGGUCGACCGUGGAAAGAGGAAAUCGACCGGUGAAGCCUGACUGUGAAAUGAAGGUAGCCGACCGUUGAAGCACAUGAACCAGGAGAGAGAAGACUGGCCGUGAAAGGAAGGUAGCUGACCGUUGAAGCAUAUGCACUAGGAGAGAGAUGGCUGACCAUGUAGGGAGGAAGCUGACCGUUGAAGCAGAAACCAGAGAUGAACACAAAAAGUCCAAAUUGCAAGAGGACGCGAUGGAAGAUAUUACGGGAUGGCUGACUGUGGCACACACAAGCUCUCUCAAGGCUUUGCGCCUAAAGCAUUUAGCCACAAGCCUUGGGGGGCUGUGUACCGUUAGAGACUUUGGACUGGAUAGUUAGGUCCCUAUCGGAAGGCCAGGCUAACCUCUUGGCGCUGAUCGAGACAGAUGAAGUCUAGGCCUUACGUGCUAGAAGACUGAAGUGAAGGCCCACUCCACUACGAAGACAUACAACCAUCAAUGAGAAAGCAAGUCAACCGCUGAUCACGCGCACAGUCAAGGGUCAAGACCUCUGCUGACCAACACAGCCUGGCAUCAAGUCAGCCGACCAUGUGAUAAAGUGCUUCUCUGAUGGACGGGAUUGUUCCGCAAGUCAAUCGACACUGUAAUGAUUACGCUCCAUUAACGGACAUGAUUGGUACACAGGUCAACCAUGUAAUAAAUGUGUCAGUUAGGGUUUGGAGGUCAACCUGUUAUAAAAGGGAGACCUCCGCCCCUCUAUGUAACUCAUAUUCUCUACAUUGAAAUAACACUCCAUACAUUUUUCUUAGUCUUUUAUGUUUCUGAUCCCUUUGGAAACCCUUAUCGGAACAUUGGCGCCCACCGUGGGGCCUCGGUAAAACUUUUCCCGAGUCCUCAAGGUACAUUGAACUUCUUCUCAACCGUGACGAGCAUGGUAGAGACUAGAUCUCACGUCAACAGCUCAAAUGGCCCGACUCCUCAAGGUACAUUGAACUUCUUCUCAACCGUGACGAGCAUGGUAGAGACCAUAUCUCACGUCAACGGCUUAAAUGGACCGACUCCACAAACGAAGGAGACCAUGAACGCGUUGAAGAUGGUUGGAGAUGGCUUAUUAAAGUGUGGUGUUAGAAAGCCACAUCUCAUGAACAAAACUUCGUUCCAUGUCUCACAUGUCCAACAAACAUUUAACUCUUAGACUAUAGGCUCCUCAAAGUUCAGAUUUGAACUCAAAGCACCCUUCUACGUUCAUUUUCAAUCAUAUAUGAUAUCAUAUUUUUUCUCUUUUUUUUUUCUCAAUUCCAUUUUAAUUUUAAUGAUGUAUGAAUGAAAUCUGGACUAAUAUAGGCAACACAGUGUAGAGUUAGAUUAGGUUGAGACUAUGUUAGCCAUCAGGGGACAACCAAGUUGCUACUGGGUGAGGCAAUGUUCGCUACUUAGUGAUAUUAGGCUCAAGUUAUAAUACUUGGUCCUUAUAUUUAAUGGGGCUACCUAUAAAUUGUUGUAGGCCUUGGGGCAGCAUGUGCCCUUAAGAGGAGAGGAGAGGUUAGGAUGCUCUCAACUGAUCACCAGACAUGAUCUUAAAGUGUGGUGUUAGAAAGCCACAUCUCAUGCGACGGUUGGAGAUGGCUUCUCUACAUAAGAAUAUAUAUACAGCAAAUAGAACGAAGGAAAACAAUCAAAAGUUCAAAACCCCAAUUUGAAACCAACUAUAAAAUUGUCAAUCAGAGCUGUGUAUUUCAUAUAUAUACACUUAUUAAGCUAAUAACUGCACAAGUUUUCCAUCAGAAACAGAUAACAGAUUACAUGCAUACAAAUGUUUCAUAACCUCAUUCAGUUGCUGGCUACUCUACUUUGGGUGAUGGUACCACAAAAUCAAGGACCAAUACACAAUCCAGAUGCUCCUUAAUCUUAUCAUUCUCAUGAUAUUUCCCUACUUCCCCAUCAGAAUCUGCUACCUCCAAUUCAGCUAAACUAGGAAAAACAGCAAGUGAAGCAAACGAGAACCCUUUGGCUCUACCAGGAGAAAAGUUUUCGCCGCUAGUGAACUGAAUAGUACUCUGUUUCAAUUUCAACUCACCUUGAAUUCCCUUUAUAACCCGCAUGACAUCAUCUCUGACCUGAUCUCCCAGACCCUCCUUCAGCUUGAAGAAGGUGACUCUCACUGCGGAGCCCGGCGGCAGAACCAAAGCACCACCCUCAACGGCGACCCAGUCAAGCGCCAUGGUGUCGGCGACGUUGGGCGAGUUGGCCUUGACGACUGCCACGUGGGUGGGGUGCACCGCGUAGGUGUUGAGGUCUUCCUUGGAGUUGGAUCGGAUGUGGAGGAUGUGGGUGAAAUCGAAGGAGGAGGUGGGGGAGGAUCGAAUCCGAGUGAUUGGCCCCAUUGAAAGGUGAAGGGAUUCUUCCAGGGAGACCAAGGAAUUGACUCGCUCCACCAUGGAAUCGACCUCCGAUGGUGCAGCGUCGUGUUUCACCCUGAAAACCACCACAUGCUCGAUUAUUGACAUCCUUGGACUUGGACUCUGUUUACCAGAAAACGAAACACACAUUCAUUCAUUCAUUCGUAUGGAUUUAUGUAUGUGACAAAGAUAUUCAAUUUUUAAUUGAUUUGUUUCUUUUUUAAAUCAUUUUUUAAUUGAUCUGAGACAUGCAUAUUUUUUUUUUCAUUAUUAAUAAUCAGUUUUAUAAUUUUUUAUUCUAUCUUUUUAAAUGUGAUUGUGAUCUCAUUAUAAAAGAAUUAGUUUCAUAUUUAUAAUGCUAAGUGUGCUUCAACAAAAAAAAAAGCUAAGUGGUCAAAAUUAGAAUUCUUGAAUGGGUUCAAGAAUUUGAUUUGUGAAACUAACCAUUGGACGCUAUGGAUGCUCUCAGCAGUGAGUUUGUUCUCCCGAGCAUUGUUGAGAGUAGGGAGUUGCUGGCCAAGGAUUAUUAGGUGUUUUUGAGGAGGAUCCCCCUAAGUGUAACUUCCUAGCUGAUUGUAUUGCUUAUAGCCAAUUCUGAUAGUCAGGAUGUGCAGAUUCUUGUUGUGUCAUUCUUCGAGUUGGAGACUCUUAUGUUAAGAAACUUCUUAAGCCAUAAGACCCGACGACGUUCUGGUUGGCCCACCAGAGUUUGCUCUUAGGCAGACACCAUAAGGGCGGCCAACACGACCUAAUUUUGGAACAGACCAACUUGGCUUAAGUGGCAAAGUGUCUGAGCGGCCUUACACAGGGCCAAAAACUACUUUAGCACGACGUCAUCAAGCCAAUUGUGCGUCCGAAAGCUCCACUCAAAGGACUUUCCACGCACUUGUAGAGACUUCGAACAUGCACAUUGAGUCUAUAAAUACAUGUUUUUUCGUUCAUUUAUGUAAUAUGUUAUUCAUUCUUAACAUUUUUUUAGUUCUUCUAAGACUCACGGAUUCUAUCUUUGCUCAUUCAAUUAUUUGGGUGUCGGAGUGUCUUCUGUAGGUACUCCCCUACGCUCGAGGUCAACAUCAUUGCAUUCUUAGGUCAGCAACAACGAAGCUCUACCACCAAGCAUUGCAAGAGCAACAAUCUAGAAUCCAGGAAGAAUAAGAAUAAAUUGAAUUAGCUUUAAGCUAAAAGCUACCUCAAGUUAAAUAGCUUAUUAAAAAAAAAAACUAUAAAAUACUAUAAAAUAAGCUUAUUUAACAAACACUUUGCGGUAAAAAAAAUCUUUAAAUUAGCUUUUUAAGCUAGCCAAAAUAGACUUUAAGCGAGCUGAAAUUUCUUGCUUAAAAAAUUUAUUAAUAUAAUCCAACAAUAUAUAUAUAUAUAUAUAUAUAUAUAUAUAUAAAUGUGUUUGAUUUUAGUCCAUUUGAGAAAAAAUGGCGUUUAGUGACGGUCAAAAACCGUCAAUUAUUGUAAAGAUGGUUGUCACUAAACGUCAUUUUUCUUCAGAUGGACUAAAAUCAAAUUCGCUUACAAACUCAGGAAAUAAUUUGAUCAUUAACCCUAUAUGUAAUGUGUGAAGAAUUUUUAAAAUUUGCUAUAAUUAGCUGCAAGAAAAUUCUAAAGCUUACUUAUAUACUUCUUAAUUUAUGCUAUUGCUAUAUUUGCACCUAAUUUCUAAUAUUCCAUAGCUAAACAUGUUUGCUAGAAAUCAAACUAUAUUGGUAAUAUAGGACAAAUGAGACAAAUAGGAAUAGUAUUUGGUUUGCCAAUUAGGCAUCUGAUACUUGAUUGGACCUACUUCUAUUUGAACUUUGCACAAUUAAAUUCUCAGAGUGCAAUGUACCACCACACCCCUAGCUAAUAUGUAUUUUAAAAUUAUCAAAUAUAUAGGAAUGUUGAUUUUACAUUUAAAUUGUAACCAGUUAAGAACCCGAAUCCUCACAGUAUAUCUCUUAUUUUUUUAUUUUUUUUUUCUAAUGUGGAGGGCUUAAAGCCCAAACUCACAGUAUAUCUCUUACUUUAUAAAGACAACGGUGUAGCGUAUGUAACACUCUAAUCUUUUUUAAGGUCAAAAGAAAAUCUCAGAACUUAGUUUAAUUUGAUUGACACUCUAACUGAAAACGACAACCCAAUUCCCAAAGAAACAAGCCAAUGCAAAGAUUUCUCCACAUAUCAACAAAUCAUUAAGGAAAACACUAAUUAAAUAGAAAGAAACUAAAAAGGAGAAAGGGGAUUAAAGAAGGAAAAACAAUAUGUCAAAUGCAAAUGAUUGCCCAUUGCAUAAUUCCCUUCAAAAUUGGCACGAUCAUUACUUAGACAAUCACGGUAUCAAUAUCAUCUUCAAUGUUAACUGAAACCUUUUUUUUUUUAUAAACAAAAGAAUUGCAUUUAAAUUUAGCACAAGGGGUGCUAACCCAAAUACAAGAGAUGAGAAGAAACUGAAAAACAGAAAACAAGGAAAAGAGAACGCCCAACAACCUACAACAGAAACAAACAAUCAGCCCUAGAUUCGGCAGAUUACUAAAUUCAGUUUCAGGUUCCAUCAUGUCAGUGGCCAUAAUAUGUCAAAUGCAAUAUUCAAAUCUUGUAACCACUGCUUUAUCUGCUUUAAUUUAUGGAAACUACAACAGUGUUCGCGACGAUAUAAAUGAUACAUAAAUGAGAACAACGGCCAGUUACUAGAUUUUUUUCUUAUUAACCAAUGUAUCUCAGUUUAAAAAAAACAUAUCUAUCUCACAAUAGUUGUGAGACUAACCUAUCUCUCACUCCACUGUCGGUGCACUAAAUAGUAAGAUGCUGAUCAAUGAGUUUUUUUCCAUUUGCAAUAGUUAGAGAUUGAACCUCCAACCACAUACAUAAUAGACGAAGUGUUAAAUCACUACGUCAACCCACUUGAUGGACCAAUUACAAGAUAAAUAUAAUUAAAUAUUGAACCAGAGUAAUCAAUACUCCCUCCGGUCCUAUUUGUAUGCAUGAAAGAGAAGAAAAAUCCUAGUCCUUUUUAUAAGAACCAAAUGAAAGUUUGAGCUAUAUUCAUUAUUUUUUUUUCCAAUGAUACCCUUAUUAAUUCUAACUUGUAAAAUGUGUCUCAUUAAUUAUUCUCUCUCUUUCCCACUUUCCAACACUAAUAACAAAGGGUAAUUUUGGAAGUUUAUUUUGAUUCAAGAUAAAUUUAAUGCAUUUUAUCUGGUUUAACUACUUUUCUUAAACUAUGUGAAUUUUUUAUUGUUGCUUAUAAAUAGAACCGGAGGGAGUACAAUAUAAGCUCGCUUACUCUAAUCAACCUAAACAUUUAAUAACAAGUAGAACAUUCAUCAACACAACUUCAAGCCUCUAACUUUUCACUAUAACUUCAACAUUUAUGUUGGUGCAUUUUAUAAGAGUUUAUUUUAUAUCAUAAGCGCUUAUGCAACUUAUGUAAAUAUAGCUCAUGACAUGCCUAUAAACAAUUAUGAGCUUAUUUUUCAUAAGAUGUUCAAAAUAACUUAUGAAUAAGAGCUUAUGCUAAUUUUAAACUUAUUUUAAAAAAAUUCUCAAAAUAGCUUCUGCAAAACGCUUAUGUGAUAAGUGUUUAUAGCCAUAAAAACUUAAUUAAGUUGUUUUUCCAAAUGCACCACUGUCUGGAUGGAGAUAAUUCAAGAUCAUGGAUGUUUUCCACUAGUAAGCCCUUCCUUUGAUGGAGUUACUGAAUUGCAAGCCUGUUAUCUAAACACUACAGGUUGGCAUCGGUCGUAUCUUUAUGAUGGAUGAUGGCAUGGUGACAAUGAGGGAGGGAGGGAGGGAGAGAGAGAGAGAGAGAGAGAGAGAGAGAGAGAGAGAGAGAGAGAGAGAGAGAGAGAGAGAGAGAGAGAGAGAGAGAGAGAGAGAGAGAGAGAGAGAGAGAGAGAGAGAGAGAGAGAGGUGUGGUUAACAAACAUAGGUUUAAUUUGAAAAGAAGAAGGAAAAGAAACAAAAAGACUUACAUAAAAAAUCAUACUUAGAGACUUAGAGAACAGAUAACUCUCAUAAGAGAAAGGGGAAAUUUUGCUUAAAUCAUACCCCAUUUACCAUAGGGUUUUCCGCAUCGAAAACCCAAAAACUUCCCUUGUCAUUGCAUCAACAUUGAACACAUUCUUAUCAUUCAUGACCUCCAAAGUCAAUCCAUGGAUAUGAACCCAUAAUGGAUCUAAAUCAAAUCUAACCUCAAAAUCUGAAUAUGAGGAGCCUAGUAUUGAAGGCUCAUCAAGUGCCUCAUUAUGUUCCAAGGUGAUUCCUCCAUCACCUUAUCCACAAAACCCCCAAAAACAAUCCAUCUCUCUCACUCAGUUUUAUUAAGCGAAAAAUCAACAAUUGAAUUGGUCAAUAAUAAGCUCUAUUAAGCUUAUAAUUUGAUAUAUAGUAAUUUUUAUUUUUUAAAUAAUAGGACCGACACAAUUUUUUGAACAUCUGCACCUUCCAUCAUAAAUCAUAAUAUGUUUGAUUCUCUAAGUUGACGAGGGAAUUAUUAAUACAUAGUUUGCUGGCAAAAGUAGGGCCUUUUACAUCAUGAAAAUAUUGACAUCAUAAAAGAACCACGUGGCAAACAAGUAUUGGUAAAAGUGCUCCUUCUGUGGAUUUUGCCGAUACAAUGAUACACGCUGGCUUAAAAAAUAAACACUUUUUUCUCAAGAUAAAUUAGAGUUUCUUAUCUCAAGAAAAAUAUUAGGGCACUUUUAUCCAAUGGAAAAAACUCAUGCGAAUAUAAAAAAAGAUCAACCUUAUAUUCUAAUGUAUUAAUAGUGUAUUAAUAGUGGAAUAAGAGAUUAGUCCUAUAUUUAUCAGCCAUAAAAAUGUCUUAGUUAACACCGAAAAAGAAAUGAAUAUUGUUGUUCAUUUCCUAUUUUCAUUUAUAAAAAAACAUAAAACAAAAAUAAAACAUGUUUGAUUAAUAUUUAAACAUCUUUUCUUUAAAAUAUUUUACUAUAAAAUAUGAUCAAAAUAGAAAAAUGACUACAUAUAUAAGACUUUAUAGAGAAAAACAAUUUUUUCAAUAUUUAUUAAUCAUUUUAGCUCAUUAAAAUUACCAUUGACAGCUCAAAUUAGAUGAAAAUAUUAGACUGUGUAGUUUAAGUUAAAUCUCAACAAUUAGACAUUUAAUACUCCUUCAAAAUUUGUCAAAAAUGAGACUCCACUCAAUUCGUGUCUAAAAUAUACUCAUCAUCAUUCUCUUUCAGCUUUUGUGAUGAAAUAUUGAAAUCUAUCAUAAAAUUUGAAUAAUAGAAACAAAAUUAGUGGCAGAUUUUAUAAAGGAUAUUUUUUUGUCGCGUCACUAAUUCAAAUCUGCAUACUUUAGUGGCAAGUUAUAUUCACAUCUUAAAAUCCGACGAUAAUUUAAAAUAUUUGUGAAACUUUGUAGGUAUUAGUGACGAAUUUGGAGAUGAAAUAAAAAAAAUUCAUCGCCAAAAUAUAGAGAUUUAAAUCAAUGAUAAAUUUUAUAUUGAAAAUCAUCUCUUCAUAAAAUAUGUCACUAAUUUUAUUCAUGUUACUCAUCAUCCAAGGUUUUUAUUAUGACAGAUUUUGAUAUUCCGUUGCAAAAUUUAAAUGAGUUAAGAUGAGGUAUAUUUUAGAUAAGAAUGAAAUGAAGUGUUAUAUUUUAACUUCAGAGAGUGAAUGUAUUUUAAUCUUAGAAAAAUAUUAUGAAUUACAAAAACCUUUUACAUAUAUAUAGAUAGUAUUAUAUGCUAUUGACUAAAAUUAUAGCCUUUGAAUAUCAUCUAUCAAUAUCAAUUUACAAAACAAUUUAAUAAUUAUGCAGAUAAUAUAGAUACAUUUUAUAUAAAUAUUUAAUUAGAUUUUAUUAUCUUACUAUAUUAUUAUAAAAUUAAAAAUCACAAAAAAGUAAAUUUGAUAACAAUAUAUACUAAAAUGGUGGAUUUUGCUAAAGUAUAAUACAUCUAAUAAAAAAGGGAAAAAAAAAACAGGUGGAUAUUAAUCAUAGAAUAGUGCUAAAUAUUAAGACACAACUACUAAUAGAUCUGAAGCUUUCUCUUUCUCUUCUGAUCUGGGUUGAAAAGCUUGAAGCUUUCACCUUUUAUUCCUCAUCUUUAAGCUUCAAUGUUGAACAAGUGUCAGAUCCGAAAAAAAAGACAUAGAAUUGGUGAUGGUUGAGGUGGUAGUGCAGUGUGGGUUAGGGUUGGUUGUGGUGGUGCGUUGUUGGUUCAACGGUGAUGGUGUGGUCUCAGUUUUUGGGUUCCAAAAUAUGAAAAAUGUGAUUUAGAAGAUGAAUAAUGAAGAUGAAUUUUGGGUUAAGAUGAAAGAAGAAGAUUAAUGAUAUGACAGAUUAUGACUUUUUUUUAACUCCUUUUAAAUUAAAAAAAAAGGUGACCUGCUAAUAAACUUGGGAUAACAAGUCAACCUAGCUUUGUGUAACUUUGCACAAGUAUUUUUUUGUGUAUAGUAAAUGAAUCCCUUUUUAAUUGCAUAAAUUUAUAAAUGUUUGUUAGAAAUAUAUGUUUAAUGAAUUAAACCGUAAAAAAGAAUUUAGUUUGUUUAUGAAUUUAUAUAUUAAUCUUUUCUUAAAAAUAAUAGAUGUUAAUGUUAAUUUGGAAAGAUCUUUAGGAUGAUAAUUUUACGUAUGAUAUUUCAAUUUAAUAUCAUAAUAAUAAAAGAAAUAAAGUUAAGGGGUUAGAUUGAUAAACUUGCUUGUUAUUAUUUUCAUAAUUAUCAAUAUAUAAAAUUGGUGUGACCUGCAUUUAUUCAUAUGAGGAGCCCGUUUUGUCGUUUGUUGAUCACGUUAAGUUCCAUAGAUGACGAACACGGGCUUGAUUUGCUUUUGUGAACAUCUUUUAAAAAUAUAUAUACAUUUCUUUUGUUGAUUUAUAGUUUUUUUUUUUGUACAUCGGAAAGAUAAAUUACACUUGCGAGAGAUUGAUCCCGGAACCUUUUUAGCACUUACCACUUAAGCUAACAUAAUAUGAUGAAAAAAUAAAAUAAAAUAAAAUAAAUUAAAAAGAAGUUGUUUUCUUAAUUUGAUUUUCUAGGAUAAAGUUUAUUUUUGAAAAUGAUAUAUAUAUAUAUAUAUAAUGUUGAGAAACAACCCCUCUCAACAUGGGUAAAGUAACCAAGUCAAAAAAAAGCAGACCAAAACUCCAGCUACUACAACAAAAUCCUCCACCACUAAAAAACCCACAAGCAUGCAACCAUGCUUUAACAUCCAAAUCAACAACUCCUAAUGACAACGUCUACACCUCUAGGAGAGUUCCCAUUUGAAAUCGUAAACAGCGACAGGUUCAACCGGAUGAGAUCCUAUCAAGCCACACGACACCUGCAAAAUAGAUCUAACCCAGCUAUGCAUACCAAAGAACCCAAGAUUAUAGGUUACUUGACUAUUUCUAAAAGAAGGUAGAGCUUAUUGUAUAGGAUUACUUUUUGGCAAAGAAAAUAAUUAUAUGACUUCAAAUUCGAAUUUUUAAUAAUAACAUUUGUUAUUUUUUUAAAGGUAACAUUUGUUGUUAAAAGUGUUAAAAACAUUAUAAUUUUUAUGUUUUUCGUAAGUUUUUUCAAUAUCUUUUUUUGAUUAAUUUUUAUAAAUUUUAUUUAAAAUAUAGUAUAUAAGAGUUUUUUUUUUGAAAUGAAUAGUAUAUAAGAGUUUAAAUAUGUCUUUAAUCGUAAGACCUUCCAUAUUUCUUUCUAAUGGACAUGUUUUUUAGAAAUAAAUUUUAUUAGGGUAAAGUAAGACUUCUUUAAUCAGAAAAUAAAUCGAAGGACCCUCCUCAACCCAUGCAUCAUGCAUGAACAUAAUUACAUAAAGCUAACUUUGAUAUACAAUUUGCCACCAUAUUAGCGAACAACUUCACAUGAACCAAACUGCAGGAGGCAAAAACUCAACAAAGGUCCAAAAAAUCCUCCACAAUCAUCCGCGAGUAGGAGCGUGAUGCCACUGGUGACUUCCGCCCAUCCUUCAACAAAAGACUACAUGUUUAAAAAACCAGAGAUGAAAACCCCGAUGGAUAGCAAAUAUGAAUAUUCCAUUUCAAGAACAGGCUCCCUGCAGCUAGCAUAGGAUCCAACGUAAGUCAUAUCACGCUAAAGCCAUGAUCUAACUCUAAUAAUCGAUUAUAAUUAGGCAGAAACCAGCAAGAUAAAUGAUAUAUUUUGUCUAAUAUUAACACUUGAACCUUUUUAUAAUAAUUGUUGAAGAAUUGAAUUAAGUAAUCUCAUAUAUUUUGUCAUUUAUAAAUAGUAUAUUUAAAUCAUUUCAUAUAGUUUUUAAAGUGAAUGAUUAAGAUGUUAGUAUGAGACAUAGAUCACAUCUAUAAAUUAAAUUAAAUCCUAAAGUAUAAUAUUAUAAUCUUGAAAUCGUUCAUGGUAUUGGAAUUGAAAAAAAUUGUAUAUGGAGAAAUAGUAGACCCUUGAGACAAAUGUUUAAAAGAUUAGUUUAGAAGAUAAAACACUAUCUCAUGGGUAAGAGAAGAAAAUAAAUAUGUGUUGAGUGUUGUCAUUCGCUAAAAGGCGAAUAAGCAGAAGUGGAGAAAAAAUAUGUGUCUAGGAGAAAAUUAAGGAUGUGAAAGUCUCUAUCUCAUCGACUUUUAAAAUAGGUUAUCAAGUCAAAUCUAGUAAUUACGAUCAUAUUGAUAAUGAUUUAUUUAGUCUGUUAAUUUAAAUUUUGAAUUUUAGAGAAUCUUUGGUUUUAAUUAAAAUAUUUUCUAAUUUACUAAUAAUACUUGUGACGUUCAGAAAAAAUAAAUGAAUACUUGUGUUUUAAACUUGAAUAUUUUUUUUAUCAAAACAAAUUUGAAUCUUUUUCAAAUUCGAAUUACAUUAAGUUAUAAUCUUCCUUUUAUAGCUUUCAUAUUUAUUAAUUAUUAUAUUUUAAGCAUAAGUAAAAAUAAAAUAUAAUUAUGUUUUAAAUAUAAAUAUUCAUUAAUUAAGGGCAUUCAUGUAAAAAAUUAAGUUAACAAACAAAUUAUAAUUUACAGUCUAACUAUAAAAAAUAUGAUUUUUUUUAUGACUCAUGAACCGAGACUCGUUUAAGUAGAGAGUUAUAAACUUAUCUAUUUUAUUAUCAAGAUGAACAUUCAUAAUAUAAUAAGUCAUCCAUGUUUUAUAGAGGUGUCUAACCCUAGAUACAUGUAUUUAGAAUUGCUCAUACAAACAUAAUCCGCCCAUAAAGUGGGUGGGUCACCUAAGCCUGUAAAAACAUAUAUCGCUAUUAUGAGAUAAAUAAUACAUGAAUCGCAAACAUGACGUAAGAAAAACAUAAAUAGUGUGAGACCACCCAUAUAUGGAAUAUGGUGAUUGAGUCAUGAUUAAUGGUUCGCCAAAUGUGAGAUGGCUCACGUGAUAAGGAUUUGUUCGCCAAGUAACCGGGGUCACACGCCAGGUAGUAAGACCGCUCGCCUGGUAGUGCUAGAGUCACCCAAUUAACAAAAAAAAAAUGUAAAUAUGAAUUUCAUUGUUGAUAUAAAUUAAAGUAAAAUCUAGGAAGUAUGAAUUAGGAAAGAGAUAAUUCAGUUAUAGUUAUUUCGUGAAAAUAUUGAAAAACAUGUUGCAUGUACUUUCCAUGUGCGAAUGAACAUCUAAAACAACACAAACCAACAAAAGAUCAAAAUUUUACAAAGAGAAAACAAAAAUACUCAUAAUAGUGAAAUAAGAAGAUGAAGAUUUCGGAUGUGAAAUCCGAAAGUAAAAUAUAAAAAGAACACAUAACCUUUUUCCUGCAAAGAAACUGACCUCUCCAUCCAUCUCACAAAUGCAUUCUUUCCAACCUUGCCUCUCAAUGUAUCAGACCUUUCAUUGAAAGUGUCAAAACAUCCCUCAAGCUCUCCUACCAUCAAUUUUUAAAAUAAGUUGAGAAAACAUUCGUCUGAAUAAAAAAAAAAAGAGUUAAGAAGGGAUUAGAACAAUUAAUAAACUUACUCAUGCAAUAUAUAGCACCAGACAAAGAUGAAGUUGGAUGAGCCUUUCAAACCGACAACAUAAAGGAGGUUGAAGAAACAAACUGUGAGAGAUUAACAUAUUUGUAAAGAUAAAAAAAAAGAGGAAAUAUUUUAUUUUUGGCACGGAUAUGUUUUUACAAAUAAAAUAUAAAUAAAACAUUCACAAAUAUUGCACUUUUUUAUAUAUGAUCGACAUAUUCAAAGUUAAGGAAAAAUAAAAAAUUUACGGAUGGAUGAGAUUGAUAUAUAUUUUUUUAAUGCAGAUUUAAUAUUGAAUAUGUAUUUAAGGUUAAUAGAAAACAAAAUCUUGCAGAUUUAAUAUUGAAUAUGUAUUCAAAGUUAAGAAAAAAAACAAAAUAUUGAAUAACAAAAUUUGUAUAUUUUUUAUUGGGAUGAUAUGGGGGUGACACGUGGCAAAACCUUCUUUUAGUAUAUUAUAUAGAAAGAAUAGAUGAGUUGUUUUGAUUUUUUUUUUUUGGCACCGUCAGGUUAUGUCAACAAUAAGCUAUUUAUAUAGCUUAUUUUACAUUGUCUUCAAUGCAUAAAACUAUACCAUUAUACAAUAAGUCCAAAAUGACAUGCAUGUAAGUGGUGUUGUGGUGAUCUAAGUGAGAACCCAAAUUAGGACUUAGGACUGUAAACAAUAAUGUCAUAAAAACUUAAACAAACAGCGUAGAUAUAGGCGUAAUAAGUCAAUUAUAGCUGAUUGAAAGGUAGAGGGCUUGUUAGUUUGGCCAAAAGGCAUGACCAGAAACUUAUAGUGCCCAUCCACGGUUCUGAAUGCAGUUUUGUGGGUGUUCUCUAGUGCAACCCUGAUUUGGUGAAAGUCAGAACGCAGGUCCAUCUUGGAAAUGAUUGUGGCACCUCCCAACUCAUCUAAUCUAAGAACUCAUCAAUUGUAGGAAUAGGAAAGCGAUAUUUAACAGUUAAAAUUGCGAUAAUCAACAUAAAAGUGCCAAGAUCCAUCCUUCUUUCGAAUUAACAACAUUGGGAUGAAUAUGGGAUGGUGCUGCGAACUACAAUUACCUACCUUAACAUCUCAGAGAGAAUGGUAGACAAGGCCUGGCCUCUUUGUGAGAGUAGGGGUAUCUACGAGCAAAUGCAGACUCAGACUAUUCUUGUUUCUUCUCUCGGUACUUAGCCUCCGAGUCACAUGCCAGCAAUCCCAACCAUUGUGCCAACCAUUCACAUUUAAAUUGUUUGACUUUUUUUCAUUCGUGUUAAGAAUUUCUCCUACAAGAAUGUCUUUUCUCCUUGCUUUACUCUUUCUCUUGUAUUUUAUGAUGCUUUAGCUUCUGUUGCUGUUUCAUAGAUGGUAUGUCAAACAACUGUAUGUACCCAAGAAUAUUGUGCUAGAAAUAGCAGCAGGGAUGUAUAGUGAAAGACAUGAAUCUUGGUAACACCUCAAUGGUUUCUCUUGUCUCACAAGGCUGAUCAGAGAUAUGAUGGCUUGCGAGUUGCGAUAACGGUAACUGAUUAAUUGAUCUCUGCUAAAUAAAUUCUUAAACCUCUUUGCAAACAGUGAAAACUGUCACCUUUCUUUUCCUUUCUAAAUAUUCAUGCCAAAGAGCAUUAAACUGGUUUUCUCUUAAAAGACUAUCUGUUUUCAACAAUUUGACCGAUGCUUUAUUGUGUACAACAUUAAGUUGCAUCGCACACUGUUGUUUUGAUCACAAGCAGAUAUAAAUAGCUUAUGAUUGAAAGAUUUCUGGGCUUCGGGCCAGGGGGAUGUGAUGAAAAUGAGGAUAAGGUAGAGGUAGUAUUAACUUCCAAAUGCUUUAAGUUUCUUUUGAGGGUGUCUUUCUGAUCUAACUUAAAAACGUAUAUAUUUCAGAUAAUGUACGAUAUUCAGUAUUAUUGAUUUUUCUAUUAUUAUUUUCUUUUUGGUUGUGAAUGAAUUUCAAAUUUGGUUUUCCAGUUCUAUUCAUGCCUUGUAUUUCCUUGCUGUUUCAUUUCUUUUUGUUCAGGUAAAGUGCUUGUUCAUGCACUUGAUGAAAAAACUAGAGCUUACUACAAUAUGGGAGGGUCUUUGGACCCCAGGGACAUUGCAAAAUGAACCUAUAGAGGUAAACAUGAGACUAACUUUAAGUCAUGUUGUUCCAUGAAAUUCAGAACUUUUCCUCAUAUAUAUGUUUAAUAUUGUAUUCAAGAUAUUUGAAGUUUUCUGAAUUUGUCUGUUUUUUUUUAUUUAGCUCUAUCAUCAUAGUACUUUCCUAUCUUCAAUCAUAAGUGAAAACAGGACAGCAUUCUUGCAUUUUGAAGUCCUCUUUGUAUAAUCUUCUGAAAAAAAUGAUAUUUUGAAUAUCUUAAUUAUCUUGCUACUCUAUUCACCAGAACCUUGACAUUUACUUUUUCUAUGUUGUACCAGGUUUUGCAACACCUCUAUAACAUGCCAAUGAUAUCAUGCUUUUAGGCCAUCCAGAUACCACCAGGUGCUGCGGUUUUGUUUCAAUACUUGUUUCUGACAGGUGCUGUGAUUAAUAAUGUAAUUUGAUUAAUUUUUCUUUCUUUUCUGAGACUGUCAAGUGUACAGUAAUCCUGUUUUUCCCCAUGUUUAAUCCUUCAAUUUGGGAAAUUUUUCCAUGUAAAAUGUGGACCAUUUUUGUCUAAAACCAGUGGAAGAUUUAAUUUGUCUAAAUGUGAGUCUCUUUUUUUUUUUCAGUGGUAAUGUUUCUUUCAUUCUUUGAGGUUCUUUUUUAUUUUCAUGUUUAUUAAUAGAUAGAGAAAGGGAAAGAUAGAUCUGUUGAUUCAAUUAUGAAAUGUAAAAUAAUUGGUGAAUCAAAAUAUAUUUUGUUAAUGAUUUGCCUCUUGAAGACAGGGGCAAAUGAUUUUUAAUAUGUUUAUUUUUUUUUGUGUAAAAUAGCUCUGAUAAACGUUAAAAGGUGCAAUGACUAGCUAGGAAAAAAUAAUAUUAUUUUACGGGGGCUAAUAUGGCUGCUAAAUCACCUGGGGGGGUUUUUUCCGGCGAUUAAGAAAACAUGUUAGGAAAUCGACUAAUGGAGACAGAUUCAGUGUGGGUUGGAAGGUGUUUUUCACUGAAAGUUCACAGAAAUCACUGAUAAAUACCCUUUGUUGGUGUAGUGGCUUCACUUUUGUAUAUAGUAGUGCAUUGGAAAGUAAACAAGUUACUAAUGUCAGAUCUGGUCCUCCAUGAGAGCACAAUAUUCCUAGAAACACAUGCUGAACCAUAACAAGUUAAUUUCAUGUAGACCAAUGAUAGAAGAACGUGGCAACUAGAUUAGGUAGGCUCACCAAACUUUCAAGAUAGAAUGGAAAGCGUGCUAGAGUACAUGGGACAAAACUUGCAUAUUUUUAUUAAGGUGAUAACUUUUCUCAACUUUCUCUUUCGCAAUAAAGAUGUCACGUUAUAGUUGGAUAAUAGUAAAAACAACACGUAUAGAACUAUGUCUUAGUUUUUAUCCUACCUGUUUUCACAUUUACUUUCACACAUCUCAAACGUAAAUGCUUUAUCACUUGAUUGAUCUCUUUUUCUAUAUAUAACAUUGCCAUUUGGGACAUUCCCUUUUCACCUGCAUCAAAAAGUCUUUGGUGUUUCAUCUGAAGAUCAUCCUCAUAAUUCAAUUUUCUUCCAAUGGAGUUGGGAAGCGUAAUUGACUUCCUUCAGGACAAGAAUGUUCUGGUCAUCGGUGCCACUGGCUUCCUUGCCAAACGUGCUUCUCUCUUUCUUUUUCUCUUUCUAAGCUAGCAAUUUUUAUGUGUGGAUAUAUGUAUUAGUGAUGUUGUGUUUUAUAUACGUUGCACCAGUCUUUGUGGAGAAGGUACUUAGAGUUCAACCAAAUGUGAAGAAACUUUAUCUUCUAUUGAGGGCCUCAGAUGCUGAAUCUGCCACUAAACGACUGCACAAUGAGGUAUGUUAUAACAUCUUUCACCAGCCAUGUACAAUCUGUUUGGGAGAGGCUGGUUCUUCACUCUCACCAAUUUAUGAUGCUCUUUUUUUUAAAGCCAAUGAUAAAAAUUUAUUAGACUGAAUAUUAACUUGAGAACAACGCCCUCAAGAAUAAUCAAGUGUCAAACGAAACUAGUUUACCAAAUAGACCUCAUCCCUACAAGAAAAAUGUUGAUUAGUGUCAGCCCAAAGUCAAUAUUAAGUAGGCAAAAUUUGAAGCAAAUGUUGAUUCAGCGCCUGCGUCGGAGCUGAAAUUAAAAGGCCUGAAGCUAACUCAUAAUGUCAGUCAUGUGGCCGAAGCUACAAUUCAAUUUCAGUUUUGCUAACUCUAAGCUGAAACAACCACCCUAUCAUCCGACGAAAAUUAUUAAAAAUUAGUAUCGGUUGUAGAGGCCAACACUUAUUAGCGUCGGCCUAUAGAUAACGUAUUAAUGCACUCCCUUGUUUAAUUAAAGCAUCCGCAAAGUAUAUUUAUUUUUUAUUAUAUUAUUUGGAAUACAAAUAAUGCAACAAUUCAAAUUUUUUAUAUAUUUGAAUUGUUAAUGCAAUAAUUGCUCUAGAGUAGUAGGCACACUAUUUUGUUGUCCUGUCUAUAUUCUUUCUAUCAUAUAGUUGUGAAACUCAUGCUAUUGUAGAAUCCUUAUGUGUUUUUGGCUUUACAUGGUAGUAAGGUAAGUAGUACAGCAAUGAUAUGGGCCUGUGGAGAAUGAAGCCAUGUUCAUAUCAUUUUCAAGCCCGACAGUAAUACUUCACCAUGCUAAAUCUGUUUGUGACUGAUACGUUAUUCUCAUGUGUAGAUUAUAGAGAAGGACUUGUUUAGAUUGUUGAAGGAAAAUCUGGGUGCAAAUUUUAAUACCUUUGUCUCAGAAAAGUUAACUUUGGUGCCUGGGGACAUCUCUCAAGUGGACUUGAAUUUGAAGGACUCUGUUCUCCGUCAAGAGAUUUGUAAUCAAACUAAUGUUAUAAUUCAUUUUGCUGCCACAACUAACUUCCGUGAAAGGUAUAUGUAUAUAUAUGAUGUAUUUAUAACCUGAUCUAUAUAUGUGUUUGUUUCAAAAGUAAAUUAUCGUUUAAUUUCUCACUGUCCCUUUAAUUACAAUCAAACAAGUUAAAUAUGUUCUUUUAUCUUUAACUCUCAUUAUUGUAUGCAG